This 57381-nucleotide long non-coding RNA is filed under the name Sorghum bicolor (sorghum). RNAcentral's name for it is "long non-coding RNA (SBIC_LNC008350)". The stretch from base 51694 to 51801 matches the Rfam family "Plant small nucleolar RNA R71". Lineage: Eukaryota; Viridiplantae; Streptophyta; Magnoliopsida; Poales; Poaceae. The record is from RNAcentral.
CCAAUAGGUCGGUGGAACGUCGUGUGCGAAGAGAGUCCGGAACGGAGUCCAGAGGGGGGCGGGCGCCCAGGUCCUCAGGGCGGGCGCCCUGGGCCUAGCCCCUUUCGGGCUCCACUUCCUUCCCGUGGCUUCUGGAGUCUUCUAGAUGGUAGAAAAUUGCGCGGUGGGUUGAUAUGUCUAUGUAAUCCCGACAUGUAGGCCUUUCUUCCUUAUUUCCUGAUAACCCCCUGCAGAAAUAGACAAACACCAAAACUCGUGGAAUUCUGUCAGAUAAAACCCUAAGUCUAGAUGUUGAUUUCAUUUGGAUCCUUUUCUUUAUUUAUUUGAUAAUUAAAUUUGAUACUUAAGGACCGUCAACAAUAGCCUACCACUAUUGCUUGAAUGAUUAGUUGAUCUAGUGGUAUGUAUAUGAGUUUGUUCAUGAGCUAGUGAACCCAAGUACUUGAUCUAUUUUGGAUUGUUAACAAGUGACAAGUACAACAUUGGCAAGAUAACCCUUAAUGUGAGGUGUGAAAAAGCUUGUCAUUGGUUCAAACCGGACUUGGAAGCUUAGUCAAAUCAACAUAGUUCAAGCUUACAAUUAGAAGCUCAUGAUGAUUAGAGUACAAGAACAAGACAACAAUGCAAAUGGAUAUCUAAACUCAAAUGUUUCCUCAAUUAGUAUCCUACAAUUGUAACUCAUGAUAGCAAAUGUUCAAGAAAGUAAACAUGUGAUUCCAUACUAGAAGACCUUAAUUGGUAGAAGAAUCCCAUAUGGUAUCGGACAAGAUAUUUCAUUUAUACAUAUGGUAUCUAUCAUACAAGAAGGUGGUUCCACAAGUGAUCCUCAACUAUAAGUGAUCAUCAAGCAAAGAAAAUUCCCUCACCAACAAGAUUGACAAGUUAAUGACCCAUGCUAUGACAUAGGGGGAGGUGCCCCACCAAAUGGUAUCAAGGUCAAAGAUCCUAUGUGGUAUCUCAACAGAAAUUCAAGAAAUGUCAUUCCAACACAUAUGGUGAUGUCCAUAAAAAAUGCAAGAUUCAAGCCUCAACCAUCUAUCCCAAUGUAAUCCUUUGUCACAAUGAGAUUCACAUUUUUUCAAUUGGUAUGAAGUGAUUUAAUUGGUAUCACAUACCUUUUAUGGAAAUUGAUGACAAAGGGGCAGAAGUUGGAACAAAGAUAUAUUCAUGGGAUAAGUUGGACAACAAAAGAUAUGUUUCAAGGGGGAGAGAUCAAACAUGGACAUGGACCAAGAGGGAGAGAUCAAACAUGGACAUGGACCAAGAGGGAGCAACACUGAAGGAAAAAAGAUGGAUCAAAAUUCUUGAACAUGAGAAGCACACAAGUAGGGGGAGCAAGCUCAUGAACAUUGAUUGUUUGCAUUUGAUUUGUGCAUAUUCAUGUGCUUGCUUGCAUUGCAUAAGUUUCUAAAUACAAUAUGCAUGCUUGUGUGGUGUAUGCUAGUCAUAGAACUUGAUUGAUGAUAUGAAAACUAGCAUGCAUAGGUUGGUAGCUAGACUUGUGUUCUUCAAGUAAAGACUAGACCCUUGCUCUUAAUGUUGAUCUCACGGGGUUUCUAGUGUUUUUUCUGUCUAGCUACUCAUGGUGCUAAGGAUGGUGUACAUCGAAUGCUUCAAAUGAUAUCAAAUUUGGUAUCAAGCUACAAAGGUUUAUUCUAUACACCUUAGCACUUAGUUGGGUUUUAUGGUGCUUAUCCAAAUCUUGACAUAAAGCUUAAAUGUUGGAUAAGUAGCAUAAAAUCCAAACCAAGUUAGCAAUUUACACUUGUGUGAAGUGCUAGCUUGAAAAAGCUUAUUAAUUUCCAUAUCUUUGUAGAGUUGUCAUCAAUUACCAAAAAGGGGGAAAUUGAAAGUUCCUGUUUGGUUUUGGUAAUUGAUUGACAACUUAGGUGGACUAAUAGUGUUUAUGUAAGAUACACAGGAGAUUAGUCCACAGGUGAUGAUGUGAUGAUGAAGGAGCUCAUUGCAUAUGAGACAUGACAUGGAGUCAUGUGACCAAGGUGGAGAAGAUCAAGAUGAGGCUUGGCUUGAUGGACCGGUUGCAAGAGUGAAGGGCAAGUCGAAGGCUUUGAAGCGAGGGACCGCGUGUGACGGUGAAGCUUGAGCAAGACUUGGCGCCGAUGGACCGAGGCAACGGUGAAGAGCAAGUGAGGUCAAGAUCGAUGAACCAAUACGGUCACGUGAUGAUAUGAAGUGGAUCAUGUCAUUUGGUGAUUGGUUGGUGCAUGUGUUGCAUCAACAUUGGAGGAGAUGGAAUGGAAUGUGCAAGGCAAAGGUAUAACCUAUAGGGCAUUUCAUUUCACCGGUCUAAGUUGGGUAGAAGUGCUUGACCAGAUUUAGGAUAGAUAACCGUACUAUAAAGAGGGAAAAUCUUUAAUUGCAAUGGUUGUCUAGUGCCACUAAGUGUGAGUCUCAUUUGCAUAUACCUAGCACUUAGUGACGUGGUGAGUUGCAUGAGAAAGCCUAUAAAAAUGAUUGUGAAAUGCUAACACACAUGCACAUGGUGGUGUACACUUGGUGGUGUUGGCACAUUUGCAAAGGAGAAGGUGUUGGAGUUGAUUUUGAUCAACUUGGAGAAGAGAGAGAGGCUUUUUGGUGUUCUCCAGACAUUAGGAUGGCUUUUAGAUUGAAAUACUGCUUUGAUCCAUUAUGAUUUGGAUUGAGUAUCCAUAUGGAUUGUAUAGCCCUCUGAGUAAGCUUUUCGAAAUGUCCAAGAUCAUCGAAUUCGGAGUUCGGAGCUAGAAGUUAGCAUCCUAACAAGUUUUGAGGUGCUGCUGAGAAUGCAGGACCGGAAGUUCCGGUGGGACUUCCGGUGGUACUUCCGGUGCCUGACCGGAAGUUCCGGUCAGCCUGACAGGAAGUUCCGGUUGGGCUGUGAGAGGUGCGUUCGUGUUUGAGAAAACACUUCCGGUGUCUGACCGGAAGUUCCGGUCCAUGACCAGAAGUUCCGGUCCACAACCGGAAGUUCCGAUCAAUGAAUGGAAGUCCGCAUAGGAGCCUUUGCGCAUGGCCUCACGUGUCAGGAUUCACUUCCGGUCUCUAACCGGAAGAACUUCCGGUGGGUCCGAGUCUCUCACAACGGUCAGAUCUGGUUGGCCACAACGGUCAGAUCUGCUUGGACCGAGGCUCUAACGGUCAGAUCUGGUUGGACCGGAAGUUCCGGUCCCAGGCACCGGAACUUCCGGUGGUACUCUAUAAAUAUCGUUGGGAGCGUGAGCUGAGCAGAUGAGGGAGCCAUUUUCUUCUUCCUACUCUUCUCUCUACCCAUUUGGAACGCAAGGAAGUUAGGGUUCCUCCUCUCCUCUAUCUCUCCCAUGGAUUUGAGUUGAAAUUUCUUAGAGAAAUUGAGAGCCCUUUGUGGGUGUGGAUGAGAGGUUGAAGAUCCACCAUUUCCCCUUCAUCUCCCUCUCAUGCUUGGUGCUAUUUUGAGUAAGGGAGUGAGAGCCUAGUGUGUGCAUUCGGGAUUUGCAUUUGGUGGCACUAGGAAAUCUUUGUGAUUGGGGAUUUCUUAUUACUCUUGGUGAUUGCCAUCACCUAGACGGUUUGGUGGAUUGUGACUCCGUUUGAAGCACGCAAGAAGAUUGUGCGGUGCUCCGGAGGAGGAUUUGUGAGGGGUACGGUGCUCACCCCGUGGGGAUCGCAGAGAGCAACUCUAGUUGAGCGAGACAUGAAGAGUGACAAGUGGUCCGGCCAGGUCAAGUGCUAGAGCUUGUGGUAAGCACUCCACAUGGGAGAGUGUGACUUGCGGGUCACCACUAGCAAGAGGACCGGCGGCAACCUUGGAGCUUGUCUCAACGGGGACGUAGCUUGGUGGCAACCAAGUGAACCUCGGGAGAAAAUCAUCGUGUCAUCAUUUUUCUUCCCGUUGGUUUGCAAGUCCCUAACACAAGCUUGUUCUUACAUUCAUAUACUUGUGCUUGUGUAGUUGCUCUUGUAAUUAGUUAGCUUGUGUAGCUUGCUAGUUACCUUCUUGCUUGUGUAGCUAGAAGUAGUUCCCUUGCGUGACUAAUUUGGUUUGUGUAACCUUGUUAGUCACAUUGCUUAGUUUGUGUAGCUAAGUAAUUUGCGCUCUAUAAUUUGGCAUUGGUUGCCUUGUUAUUGAGCUUGCUAGUGAGCUUAGGCUUUGUGCGCUUUGCCUCACUAGUUUGUGUAGGAGCUCCCCCGAUUUGCAAAGUACUAGUUUCAUAGGUUUGUGUGACCUUGCUCAUAGAAUUGUUUAGGUGAGCUCUUGCUAAGGUAGCACCUUGCUUGCUUGUUUAGGAUCUUUUCAAGGUGCUAGAGAACUUAGAUAGAGGGGUGUAGUCUUGGCUAGACCGAUAGUUUUAAUUCUGCAUUUGUUUUGGUUAGCCGGCGCGAUAAGGUUUAGAAAGGACUAUUCAACCCCCUCUAGUCCGCCAUCUCGACCCUUCAGGCGCUUGACCGUAUUCACCUCGUGGUCAUGGUCAUGAGGGCACUUGCCCCUGAAGUCAUCGCGAUUGUCACGCCGCCUAUCCCAACCUUCUCUAUGGUCAAGGUUGUCAGUGCGAUGAUGAUUCCUGUUGUCAAAGCGUCCACGACUGUUGUCUCGCCGGGGAGGCUGGUCGGGGCCUCUCGCAUCCUCUCAGAUGAGCUUUUCUGCGUCAUCGGCGUCAGCGUAGUUUUUUGCCAUGGCGAGGAGCUCGGCCAUCGUGGUCGGCCUUUUGCGCAGUAGCUUAUUCCUUAGUGCUUCGUGGAAGCGUAGCCCUUUAUUGAAGGCUGAUAUGGCCUUGUCGUGAGAAAUUUUUGGAUUUUUAAGGCGCAUAUCCGAGAAUCGUCGGAUGUAAUCACGCAGAGGCUCGUUUUUCCUAUCCCUUAUUCUCUCGAGAUCGUACUUGUUCCCAGGCUGCUCGUAGGUAGCUAUGAAAUUGUCGAUAAACGCCUGGUGCAGUUCUUCCCACGAGUCAAAAGAGUCCUCCGGCAGGCCGAGGAGCCACUGAUGGCCAGCCUGGUCGAGGACGACUGGGAAGUAGUUUGCCAUGACGUGCUCGUCUCCUGCUAUUGACCGAACUGCAAUCUCGUAGAGGGUUAUCCAAUUUUCAGGGUUUUCCUUGCCGUCAUAUUUUUUAAGCUUCUCGAGUUUAAAGUUGCGGGGCCUUACGACUUGGCGAAGGUGUGAAGAAAACUGCCUUAGGCCGGCAGGGCCAUGCGCGGCAUCGUACUCAAUGCGCCGCAAGUUUUCGUGCACCGCUCUUUCCGUGGCACGCCUAUUGAUGCGGUCCCGGGCGUCCUUGGGAGGGAUGUUGUAUCGUAGAUCCCUGUCCUGGUUCACUUCCUGACCAUGCCCACGCUUCUGCUCGCAGUAGCCGCUGGCGUCCCGACCACGGUUGUCGCGCCCCACAUCCUUCCUGCGAUUGUUGGGAGAGCGGCUACGGUGGCACUCGCUGGGUUGUGGUGAAGUCCAGCUGCGAUGAGUCUGGUCGGAAGAGACCUCUGUGUAGGAGAUAGCUUGGACCCUUUUGAGUAAGGUGGCUGUCUGUCCCAUCGCGGCGAUCAGGUGUGCGCGUAUACUGGAUCGGACACCCUGGCACUCAGGAGUAUCAGGGAGUCUGUCCAGGUUUGCCAUAGCAAUGGCCACGUUAGCACUUGGCGUUUUGUAAACUUGCUGAUCUCCGACCAUGUCGAAAGCGUCACUGAGGUUAUGCGGCGCAAGUUGCCGUUCCUCAUCCACGCGCCGCCGAGCGCGGUCGGCAUUGUGCUGUUCGCGGAGCUCCUUCUGCUUGUCUGUUUCUCCGUCGACAACCGGUUCAUCGUUGCUGACAUUGAAGAUAAGAUCUCCCCGCUGAGGCGGGAAGACUGGGAAGCGAGAGAAGCCCGAAGGAUAUGGUGGUAAAUCCAGGUCGUAAUCUUCGUCCUCGGAGUUUAUAACCUCGGUAGGGACAGACCCUGUGCUGGAGUUUGUACUGGAAACUUGGUCGUUGGGCAGCACUUGGAUUGAUACCAUGUUGACGUAAUGGCGACCUACUCGGCUGCUCUGUCUCAGCGACCCGCCCGGCCUGUUGAAAAGGAAUUGGAUGUGCCGUGAGUAGUGAUCGGCCGAGUUGUUUAGUCCGUAAGGAGGACUCUGGUCUGGAUCUGCCUUGAGCUCAACGGACCGCCCCGUGGGGGUGGACGUUAUUGUCAAAGAUGUCCCCAGCUGUUCGUGUGUGAUGACACGAGUUGGCCGGUAGGAGUCGAAAGAGUCUAUCGGCACAACUUGAUUAGAUUGGCGCGAGAUCCCAUCUACCAGUCGGGAAGCUUCAAGGAGCCUGAGAUUGGCGUGAUCAAGGGCUCGGAAAAGAUCUGAGUCGUCGACCUUCUUUCCCCUGUAACGAUGGAGCAGAGGUCGAGUGCUCGGUGUCGGCGUGAUCGGAAUCGACGCCGCCGUCGUCCCAAAUCGGAUAUGGGUUUCUUCCAAAGUUGUGGUCGUGAGGCUGCUGCCAUGAGUCGUCCACGUGAUCUGUCCGACGAUGAACGUGAGGCCUUCAGGCACGGCCGCGGAAGCUGGAACGAUGACAAUCUUGUUCGUCGAAAGAGCUGUAUGCACACCCCCUACUUGGCGCGCUACUGUUGACGAAAGCUAGUUGGCAGUCUACCUUGGGGUAUACCCACGGUAGUAGUUUAUCGGUAGACGAUGUGCAAGCUAUGAACCUGAUGGUGACGCAAGACACAGACAGGGUUUUUAACCAGGUUCGGCCGCCGUGUGGGCGUAAUACCUACGUCCUGCAUCUGGUUGUAUUGAAUUGUGUUGAGAGAAUAAUCCUGUCCUAGGGGGGUCCCUUGCCUCUCCUUAUAUAGUCCGGAGGCCAGGGUUACAGAUCUGGAAACUAAUCCUAGUCGGUUACAAUUGCCAUAGAUAGUAUGAUAUCAAUUCCUAUUCCAGCCAACUAGAAUCCGGCUUGAUCUCCACGUUUCGUUUCCUUGCGUGAAACUCCGAGCAGCUGGAUCAAGCCUCGAACUGUCUUCGUGAUGGGCCAAGCCUCCUGGCCCAAGUCUAGCCGUAAGGGUAUAGGGGUUUAUACCCCCACACCCUGGGCUUAAGUAUGUCUUCCUUAAUGGCGAUAGGGAUGACCCUAUCAUCAUUAGUGAUCAGCUCUUUGAGGAAGAGGCCGCUAAAGUUAUCACCGUAUUAGAGAAACACCGCUCUGUCUUAGGAUACUCCCUCCAAGACCUUAAGGGAAUUAGUCCUGCUCUCUGCACUCAUCGCAUAGCCAUAUAACCUGAUGCUACACCUUCUAGGGAGCCUCAAAGAAGGCUAAAUAAUGCGAUGAGGGAAGUAGUGAAGAAAGAGGUCUUGAAGCUCUUGCACGCGGGCAUAAUUUACCCUGUUCCAAACAGUGAGUGGGUCAGCCCCAUACAAGUAGUACCUAAGAAGGGAGGAAUGAUGGUAGUUAAAAACGAUAAUAACGAGCUUAUCCCACAAUGAACCGUCACGGGAUGGAGGAUGUGUAUAGAUUACCAAAAACUCAACAAGGCUACAAAGAAAGAUCACUUCCUGUUACCCUUCAUUGAUGAGAUGCUAGAACGGUUUGCAAAGCAUUCUUGCCUUUGUUUCCUUGAUGGUUAUUCGGGUUAUCAUCAAAUCCCGAUCCAUCCCGAUGAUCAAAGUAAGACGACAUUCACAUGCCCCUACGGGACAUAUGCAUAUAGGCGCAUGUCUUUUGGCCUAUGCAAUGCUCCCGCUUCCUUCCAAAGGUGCAUGCUGUCUAUCUUCUCAGAAAUGAUUGAAGAAAUCAUGGAAGUCUUCAUGGACGACUUUUUCAUCUAUGGGAAGACUCUUGACGACGGUCUUGAGAACCUAGACCGUGUCUUACAAAGAUGCCAAGAGAAGCACUUGAUCCUGAACUGGAAGAAAUGUCAUUUCAUGGUUUGGGAGGGGAUAGUGCUAGGACAUAGAGUGUCCGAGCGUGGGAUAGAGGUGGAUAGAGCUAAAAUAGAGGUCAUAGAAUAGAUCCCACCUCCCACGAAUGUUAGAGGCGUACGCAGUUUUCUUGGUCACGCAAGUUUUUAUAGGAGGUUUAUACAAGAUUUUUCACAAAUCGCUAGAACUUUAACAAACCUGUUAGCUAAAGAUGCACCCUUUAACUUUGACGAUGAGUGCUUAGUGUUGACAAUAGCUAACACCACUUAGAUACCAGGUUGUCAUCCCCAGCAUGGAGCCAGAGUGUACAAAGGUAUUUAUAAAUAUGGAGGCUCUCUAGAAAAUAAUCUAUUCUAUCCGCAAGCGCACAGAUAAAAUACCUUAUUGUAGCAUUUCACCAGGAAAGUAUUCCAGGUAUCGUUAUUUAUAAUUUUUCUUAAGAGGACAAAGGGAGAUGAAAUUAAGAUAAGGAUAAAAUCUAUCAAGGCAUAGACUAGAGAUAAACUUGCAAGAACAUGAUUACUAAUAAGGAACUCGUCACACAGUCACUUACUUUGGCAGGGGGUAAACCAUAAAGAUAAUGAUAAUGAAAUAUAAUUUCAUGGGUAAAUAACACAGCGAUUAGAAAAUAGACUACUCCUCAUAUAUGUAAGGUGAUGUCGGAUUAGCUAGAAAAUGGAUUCUAAGUUAUCUACUAUCUACUAAGUCACAAUCUACUCUAGUUAUCUAUAAGAUCAUAUAUAGUAUAAAAGACUCUUCAUUUAUGUAUAAGGAACAUUGGUAAAGUAAAUCAGAGCAUCGCAAGACUUACUCCGCAAUACAAAUUUUGCCUGUCCUAUCAACGGAGGGUGGACUAUAUAAGAAUCAACGAAGCUGUCACUAUCGCGAACUACCACACAACCCGGCCAAUAGGAUACAUUUGCAGGUAAAUAAUAUCUAAGCACCACGCCUACAUAUGAUCUACCACUUAACUCCCACGUGUCAAGAGCUAAGCACUUUGCAAACUUAUACAUAAACUCAUUAUUAAUCAUAACUAUAUCAAAUAUAGAACUAGAGCAAACUAAGAGCAAAAUAAAUAGAGACAUAAUGCAAUUAGAACAAAGUAUUAGAGAAAGAUAUGAAAUAAUACCAAUCUUUUUAACGAAGAUCAGAAUCUAGAGCGUAGUGCUCUACUUCUCUAAUUCCUAUCUAAUCAAUCCUCUAAACUUGAAGGAUUAGGGAGUAGCUAAUUCUAAUUCUCUGUGGGAGAGAUGUCUAAACCCUAACUUUGAUGGCUACCUCUAAAUAAUGAUUUCUCCUCUCUCCCCUUGGGGUGGAGAGGCCUUGAUUAUAUAGUCCUUUCAAGUGAAUUUGGGCCGUCGGAUCAAACCGACAUUGAUCGCACGGUUUUCCUUGAUCCUUUAGGUCGGUGGAGCACGAUCCAAGAGUUUGGUUCUGAUUGGCCCCGAGGCCAGGGCGGGCGCCCAAGGGGGCAGGGUGGGCGCCCUGCCCCCGAGCCCGUCCGGUCUCCCGUUCGUUCCCGUGGCUUCUGGACUCUUCUAGAUUAAAGAAAAUUACGCGGCACGUAAUUAUCCCGUUGUAAACAUGACAUGUGGGCCUUCUCUCCAUAUUUUCUGAUAACCCCCUGCAGAAAUAGAUAAACACAAAAGCUCGUGGAAUUCUGUCAGAUAAAACCCUGAUUCUAAAUGUUUGGUGCAUAUUGAUCCUUUUCCAUGUUUAGUUGAUGGUUAAAUUUAGUACUUAAGGACCGUCAACAAACUCCCCCAAGCUUACCCUUUGCUCGUCCCUGAGCAAACAGCUAAACUCAGACGGAUUAGGAGUUGCUUCGAUGUUUUCUUUCGUGACAGGCACAGAUGCUUUCAUAUAAAACUCUUCCAGAUUAGAGUGAAGUGUCAUGGAGCUUAAUACCUGCACUUAAGUCUUAAGUAAUCGAAAGACAAAAUAAUUAAAUCAAGCACUAUUCCUCCUGUCUAUACUUCACCUUUGUUCCGGGGUUUUGCAUAAGUUUUUAAUAUAAAACUCAGAGUUCCCAGCAAUGAUUCUCUCAAGUCUCUCUAUAUGUGGUAUUUGUGGAUCCUUACCAAAAUGUCACUUACCUAUAGCUAAUGGAAUAUUUAAGUGGAGCUCAUAGGAGUGAAAAACAGCUCAUACAUAUGUUGUCUAAUCGAGCCAUGGAUCCAAAGGAACUCAUAUAAAUAAAUCAAGAUGUGCAUGUGUGGUGGAGUAAAUGAUAGUGAUGGUAAAAAUGUAUAAGUGAUAAUAAAACUUACUCCUUAUUGCUCCUCAUAUUGCUAUCUCUCUUCCUCUUUGAUCUUUGCUUUGGGAGAACAAGGGCUAUCUUUUCUCUUUUUUUUUCAGGUGGGUAGUAGAUACCCCUAAUUCUACUGUCGGACAUGUUGAUAUUUGGUAACGCAAUCAGGAAAUGAUCCGCAAGCGCACGGAUAUCGGUGAGCAUUUCACCCGGGAGGUUUUCCAGAGUAUCGUAUUUAUAUUUUUACCACUGGGAGAAAGGGUGCAUCUGACUAACCAAAUCUAUUGCUACUAUCCCUUUAGACUACAAAGAAUGUCUCUCGAUGUGAGUGAUGUAUAGAGAAGACUGCAACCUUAGUCUCGUUCUAACCUUGGUAAGGAUGAUCUACAGUUCUAUUGGGGAGGCUCACGGAAUCUAGACAACACAAAGGAUGUUCGACCCGCACCUAUAAACCUACCCGUCCUGCUAACGAGAUGUGAUCUGCAAAGGUAACUCGGAAAUGUCACGUUCCUCGCUACUACCACGGUCCAGCUAGUCAGGGGAUAUCUAUGAGUACCCUAGCCUAAACACCACGUUUACGCUAACAAGUGAUUACUCUAAUACUCAACCGGAAGAGGAUUAAAGUAAACUCAUAAACCAAAGAACAAUAAAACAAGAACUUACUAGUAUUAGAAGUUGAAUUACUGAAGAAUCUUAGAAGCAAGCCUCGGGUUAGGAGACUUGAUCCCGCAGGUACAACUCGGAGUAGACACCGACAGGACGGCCUUCCUCCGAUCCACACCUCCACUCUAUCUCUCUCAAUCUAGUAGAAACUAUAAGAUCUAUUUCUACUUUACAUUGGAUGCUAAGCCUAAAAAGAAAUAUUAUUUAGAGAAGAGGUUUUCCUUCAAGGGCACCCCUCAAUCUCUAUGAUAAUUUCUUGUCUCCUCCAGGGGCCAGAGGGGGUCUCCUUAUAUAGUCCUCCCCUUCUAUGCGUUUUUGGGUUGAUAGGCGAGGUGGUACUAUGUUAUUCUAGAUCCAAUAGGUCGGUGGAACGUCGUGUGCGAAGAGAGUCUGGAACGGAGUCCAGAGGGGGGUCUGCUGCCCAGGUCCUCAGGGCAGGCGCCCUGGGCCUGGCCCCUUUCGGGCUCCGCUACCUUCCCGUGGCUUCUGGAGUCUUCUAGAUGGUAGAAAAUUGCGCGGUGGGUUGAUAUCUCUAUGUAAUCCCAACAUGUGGGCCUUUCUUCCUUAUUUCCUGAUAACCCCCUGGAGAAAUAGACAAACACCAAAACCCGUGGAAUUCUGUCAGAUAAAACCCUAAGUCUAGAUGUUGAUUUCAUUUGGAUCCUUUUCUUUGUUUAUUUGAUAAGUAAAUUUGAUACUUAAGGACCGUCAACAAACUCCCCCAAGCUUACCUCUUGCUCGUCCCUGAGAAAGGAUAGACUCAGCUAUGGAUCAUAAAUUGUUGCAAUAUUUUUAAAAAUUGAUGUACACAUGCUUUUUAAAUAAGAUCUCAUCUCUGAGUUAGAGUAAACUGUCAAGACUUAAAACUUACUUACUUUACCUUUACCAUGGGACUUGUCACUGUCACUUCUGUCUUGAGUGGUUAAAAGAUAGAACAGUCUAGCCAAGUGCCAUGUCUCUUAUUCUUGAUCAGCUAUAGCUCUGGGGUUUUUGCAGAUUUUCAAAUAAAACUCAGAAAUUCCUUGUAUGAUUCUCUCAGGUCUCUCUUUUGUGGUAUUUUUGGAUCCUUACCAAGGCAGUGAUGGUAUAUGCCUUCUCUCAAAAUAUGUAGUAUUUGUGGUAUGAAGCAUAGUGACAUUGUCUUCUCUCUCACCCUACUCUAAUAAGGCUUUAAUAUCUGGAGCUCAUAGGUGGGAGAUAAAGUAUACAUACUUACAAGACAUUUAUUGCAUAGUCAAACCAUGGAUCCAAAGAAACAAAUCAAUAAGCCAAAUCAAGAUGUGCAUGUGUGGCGAAUGAAUGGUGUAUGGUGAUGAUGGUGAUAACAAUGGUGGUGGAAGUCUAAUUCUACUUUGCUCUUUGAGGGGAUACAUACCUUCCUUGCUUUUGAAACUUUAUGAGAAGAAUGAGAUGCUCUUCUUUUUCUUUUCUUUCGAGGUUCCGAGCACUUGGUCCUUUUUAUUUCCUCGUAUAUUAUUAUUUUUUUUCUCUUUUUUUUCUUCUUUUUUUUCUCUUUUUUUUUACUAGAGCACUCAUCUCCUGAAAUAAUAUAGCAAGUGGUAGUAACCAAAAUAACUGGAGCAUUUAUUUCACAGGGAAUAACAGGGAUAGGAAAAUGUUUUUGGCUAUUCUCUCCCGGAUUAGGAGUAGAAUAAUUUUGGGUAAAACUGGAGAUAGAAAUGAGUGGAUAUAUGUGGAUGGUACUUCCAGAGUAGAAGUAGCAUGUAUGAGUGAACGUGCAAGUGAAUCUUGAUUUUAACCACAUGACAAGCUCCUAAGGGUCUACACAGCUUGACCACACUCAAUGCUCAUAAGCAGUAAAUAGUAGAUGUGUGGCUCAAAGUCUAGCAAGCAUGUAUAUAUGGCCGUGGUAGGAAUUUAAACUCUCAUCAUAUAGAAACUCAUCAUGUGAUAUUUUAAAGAUUUUUCAAAGAUAAAAUUCUCCAGAAUUCUAGCAUCUCUAGGAACAGAUAAACAGCAGCUCAACCUUCCCGUAUCAUAUCCGUUAACAACUUAGACUUUUGAUCAGGUACUCUUCCCACAAGUUUAGGUUUAGAGCAAAUCUUAAUUCAUAACAGUCAUGCCUAAACUUGAGAGAGAUUUCAAUUUUAAGAACUAGUCAUGGCAGAGCAACUAUUCAUCAUUUCCAUGUGAGAGUUUAUCAUGAGGGUUCAUAGCAAACUUUAUUUAUUUAUUUAGCAAACUAAGCAAAGAUAUAUAUAAAAACACAAAAUCUUUAUUUGGGUUUUUUAUGAUUAUGCAUCUUUUUAUUAAUUGAGUAAAGUAUAAACACAAGUAGAAACACUUAGCUGGAUAAAUGGGGGUGCUCUCCCCCAAGCUGGAUUUUGACGUAAUUUCUUCUGAUGUAGCUAGCAGGUGAUGGAGGUGUAUUUGAAAGUCGGCAGCACCCUGACAGCGAUUAGGAUGUCCUCCGUCUGCUAGUCUUCUUUGAUCCUUGAAUUAUGUGGAGCUCAAAUAGACAACAAAGCUUUGUGCAACUGGUUAAGUGUUAGCAUAAAUAUCUAGCCUUUAUCAUGUUGAGCCUCCUCAAUAAAUAUUACUUAUUUAGCAGGAUCAUGCACUUAUUAUUUUUAUAUUUUUAUUGUAAGAUGAAAACAUAUUUAUUUUAUUUUUAUGCCACCACAGUGAAUGUACUUAUGGGUUUUAUGCCAUGAGCAUUCUCACAUGGGGCUUACUAUUUUUUUAACAUUUUUAUUUUCUUUUCAAGAUAGCAUGAACCUGAUUAACUAAGCAAACUAUAAUUUAAUAAUUGAAAGGAAAAGGAUAACUACCAAGUUUACCUCUUGGCAAGGCGUUCGGUGUUUUUAAGCCCUCCGAACGGGACUCUCCGUUUUCUCAGUCGUCCUGGGAUUCGCUAGGUGGCGUAGUCGGGGGUUCCGGCGGCGCCUCCUCUUCGUGUAUAACUAUCUUCUCUUUCCAUACCUGACUCGGUGCUACGGUCUCCUCAGGACAGUUCUGUUCAAGUUGUAUGUCUUCAGUCCUUAUCACUUCUCCUUCGUAGUCUACCCAUCCGUCCGAUUUGCCUCCUCUGGUUGCGGUUUGUCUUCUUCUUGUCCUGACCUGCUUAGAAUCUUCAACUAUAUAAUCAUUAAAGUAGUGGCGUACCUUUCGCAGAGGGGAAGUGCAUGUGGACUUCUCCGGUUCCAAUAUAGAUAAUGGCUUUGAUAGUGCUGAGGAACGGUCUUCCAAGGAUGGUGGAUGGAUCAUACUCAUCUUCUCCUAUGUCAAUGACCUGAAAAUUGUUUGAAGCUGAAUGUAUCUUGGUUGUAGGGGCAUGGUUCCAUGCAGGAGCUGAUAAGUGACUGCGGCCAUUAUGUUGUCGUCAGAUCCGGUGUCGUAGAGUGUCUUCUAAAAAGAGUAUCCAUUGUUUGUGCAUUCGAUUCUUGGAACACCAGGGUCGUCCUUCUUGAUCAAGAAAGGUGACUUGAGUCGACGAUCUUGACCUCCUUGAGCUGCAGUGACCAUCUCAGCUGACUCGGUCCACAUUUUCUUGUUCUUGUUCCUCCUGUUGGUCCUCUUCCUUGGUUCAUGUCAGGAUUGCUCUGAAGUUUGUGUAGUCUUGUUCUUGAAGGAAAGUCUCCUUCUUCCCCUUGAUGUAGAGAUUGAUCUUGGCAGCAUUUGCGUAGAUGACUGCUCUGGUGUUUAGGAAUGGCCUCCCUAAGAUGAUGGGUGCCCUCUCCUCACUACCAGUCUCUAUCACCACGAAGUUUGCUAGAGCGUACAAGGUACCAACUUGGACACAGAGGUUCUUCACUAUUUCCUUUGGGAAACUAAGUGUCUGAUCUCCAUUGUGUUUGUGCUCGUAGAUCCUGGUUCUUCACUUAGUGGAAUCUGGGAGUUGUAAAACUCCUCCAGGUUUUGUUCGAAGUGUACCUGCUCAUAGAGACAAGGCAGAGAUCAAGUGCAUGGGCUCUGUUGGUGGAAAACACCAACACAACCAAAAGUGUAUUUGUUCUUCUCUAACCUUAAGCAUAGUGAGCAAGACAAAGUUGAUGGAUCAUGAGUGUAGCAUUUGUCAGAUCAGAUGGCUCAACCUAAUGGAAAGAUAAUCUAUCUAUAUUAUGUUUUGUUUAUAUCUUCCAAAGAUUUAAAUGUGCAACAUAUUAGCUUAUAUGAUUAGGAGUGUGGGAUCACGAAGGUAGUACUAAGAACAAAGAUUAAAGGACUAAACAUGUUGAAUUAAUUGAGUUGGUUAAUUUGGAGCUACAAAUCAUACAUGUUUGUCUCUUUAUUUUUGUGAAUGCCAGAACCAAGGAGAACUUAUAAAAGUGAUAAUCAAGUACUUUAAGAUGUUAUUGAAGAGUGAUGGUAUAGUAUCACCUUGUGGAAGCUUUCCUUUCUUAGCGGUUGUGCAUCGUGUUUGUGGCACCCUCCAUGAAUCAUCUCUUAUGAGCUACGUCUUUCUUGUGCAAAUUGUUAAACUUCAUGUGUCUCCUUUAUCUCCAAUGAGUUUGUAUCUCAGGACUUCCCAGGUUAAUAUUGAAAGUUUUCCUACAGGGGUUAGUCAGACAAAAUAUCCCAUAUCUACUAUAGCAUACUAUCGGCUCAAAAAUCAACCUAGACACCAUAUCUAAUUUGAUUUAGGAGGGCAUUUUAACCUAAGCACCAUGCUUAAUAAAAAAAUCCUUUGGAAGUAAGAUCAUCAUUCCUAAACUAAGCACCAUGCUUGAUUUAAGAGAUAAAUGAAACUACUCCAAACCUAGACAUAUACUAAAGCAAAUAAAGGUAGCAUGAGAGCAUUUAUAGCGAUCUACUCAAGUGGAGGUGAAGUAGUGUAAUUAGUACUUAACAAAUUGAGCAUCUCUCAAAGGUAGGGACAACCCACGUAGCAACAUGGCAAAGGAUGUUUUUAUGUAAAGUACUCCCCAAGCUUGAAUUUUGCAAAAUUCAAGUUUGGAUGAAUUUAAUUCAAUGUUGUGUGAUGGUUGGUUGGACAUACCUUGUGCUUGUCAUUCAUCCGAUCUUCUUGCUCCAAUCCUGGAAAGGUUAGUGACAAGAAUACCCGAAGGAAUAUUUCUACAAUUAUCUUUAUAUGCUCAAUACACAAGGCAAUGUUGCAAAUAAUUAGAAGUGCUUGUUUUAGGACACUAAGCUUGUCCUUGGGAAACCAUCAAUUAACUCAACGAGAUCUGCAAUAUUUAUUAUAGACAUAUGCAUCGACAACCGCUCUUUUAAAGUUUUUAUAAAUAGAAAAGAAGAGAGGGUUGGAGAUCUCAAAUGUGAUAAGGAUGGAGAGACUAAUUGAUUGGAGAGAUGUUUUAUAUGAGCAAGGACUGGGUAAGGUAUUUAUGAAAUAACUUCCAUGCUCACUGUUGUUUCUCUCAUUCUCAAACUCCAAGGAUGAUUCUUCAUGAAUGCUUAAAAUUCCUCUAGGAUUGUCUCUCAAAUUUGUUUUAUCUAUCCAUUCAAUGGUAAUAGCACAUGGAAUUUUAAUGCCCUUUAGCCAUUGAUGUUGCUCUUCUCGAUCCUCCUUCUUAUGCAUGGGAUGUCUAGAGAGAUUCAUAGGAUUAUCGGGAGGUUUAAGAGACAGAGCAUAGUAGAAUUUAUUAAGCUCAAGGAUGGGUUGGAUAGCCGAAUUAUGGGAUUGAAAUGUUUGGAAAUCGGCUAUUGAAACUUCCUCUCCUUGUAUGGGAGAUGAUUCCUUCUCUAUCUCUAAGAUUUUUCUAUGAAGACUAGUACAAGAAGGAUGUCCACGAAUGAAGACAUACCUUCCUUUACUAAUAGAUAAAGAAAGAAGGACUCUACCAAAGGUUAUAUGAUUAAGACCAAUGUGAAAAUAUUUAGGAAAAACAUGGUCUUGUAGGGCUAGGUCUAAACCAGAAUUUAUAGAAAUAUUAAAAGAUUCCCUAGGUGUAGCUAAAAGUGCAUUAUCUUCUUGAUUAAAAGAUAGGAUCUCAGCUAUAGAAAAGGGUUGGUUUUGACCUAUUGCAAUCAACUCCAGACACAGAUCAUAAUUAGGGGCAGGACGUGUUGACUCCCAUGGUCUAUGGCUGGUCUCCGAAGGUGCAAGAAUUUAAUAAUAGGUAUGAAAUUUAAGUUAUCCAUAAAGAUAAUAAUAAAAAGAUAAAAGAAUAAAAGUAUAAAAGUAUAAUACAAGAUAAUAGCAAGACUCAAAGUUAUCUCAGCAAACCGUCUUUCUCCCCGGCAACGACGUCAGAAAUGCUUGUUGAUAUUUGGUAACGCAAUAAGGAAAUGAUCCGCAAGCACACGGAUAUCGGUGAGCAUUUCACCCGGGAGGUUAUCCAGAGUUAUCGUAUUUAUAUUUUUACCACUGGGAGAAAGGGUGCAUCUGACUAACCAAAUCUAUUGCUACUAUCCCUUUAGACUACAAAGAAUGUCUCUCGAUGUGAGUGAUGUAUAGAGAAGACUGCAACCUUAGUCUCGUUCUAACCUUGGUAAGGAUGAUCUACUGUUCUAUUGGGGAGGCUCACGGAAUCUAGACAACACAAAGGAUGUUCGACCCGCACCUAUAAACCUACCCGUCCUGCUAACGAGAUGUGAUCUGCAAAGGUAACUCGGAAAUGUCACGUUCCUCGCUACUACCACGGUCCAGCUAGUCAGGGGAUAUCUAUGAGUACCCUAGCCUAAACACCACGUUUACGCUAACAAGUGAUUACUCUAAUACUCAACCGGAAGAGGAUUAAAGUAAACUCAUAAACCAAAGAACAAUAAAACAAAAACUUACUAGUAUUAGAAGUCGAAUUACUGAAGAAUCUUAGAAGCAAGCCUCGGGUUAGGAGACUUGAUCCCGCAGGUACAACUCGGAGUAGACACCGACAGGCCGGCCUUCCUCCGUUCCACACCUCCACUCUAUCUCUCUCAAUCUAGUAGAAACUAGAAGAUCUAUUUCUACUUUACAUUGGAUGCUAAGCCUAAAAAGAAAUAUUAUUUAGAGAAGAGGUUUUCCUUCGAGGGCACCCCUCAAUCUCUAUGAUAAUUUCUUGUCUCCUCCAGGGGCCAGAGGGGGUCUCCUUAUAUAGUCCUCCCUUCUAUGCGUUUUUGGGUCGAUAGGCGAGGUGGUACUAUGUUAUUCUGGAUCCAAUAGGUCGGUGGAACGUCGUGUGCGAAGAGAGUCCGGAACGGAGUCCAGAGGGGGGCGGGCGCCUAGGUCCUCAGGGCGGGCACCCUGGGCCUGGCCCCUUUCGGGCUCCGCUUCCUUCCCGUGGCUUCUGGAGUCUUCUAGAUGGUAGAAAAUUGUGCGGUGGGUUGAUAUCUCAAUGUAAUCCCGACAUGUGGGCCUUUCUUCCUUAUUUCCUGAUAACCCCCUGCAGAAAUAGACAAACACCAAAACUCGUGGAAUUCUGUCAGAUAAAACCCUAAGUCUAGAUGUUGAUUUCAUUUGGAUCCUUUUUUUUGUUUAUUUGAUAAGUAAAUUUUAUACUUAAGGACCGUCAACAGCCUUCUCUCAAAGUAUGUGGUAUUUUUGGUAUGAGGCAUAGUGAUAUUGCCUUCUCUCUCACCCUACUCUAAUAAGGUUUUGAUAUCUGGAGCUCAUAGGUGGGAGACAGCUAAUACAUACUUACAAGACAUUUAUUGCAUAGUCCAACCAUGGAUCCAGAAAAACAAGUCAAUAAGUCAAAUCAAGAUGUGCAUGUGUGGCGAGUGAAUGGUGUAUGGUGAUGAUGGUGAUAACAAUGGUGAGAGUCUAAUUCUACUUUUGCUCUUUUUAGGGGAUACAUACCUUUCUUGCACUUUGAAGCUUUUUGAGGAGAAUGAGAUGCUCUAUAUAUUUUUUUUCUUUUCUCUCAGGUGGGUGUCCUGUACCCCUAAUUCUACUAUCGGACACUUGUCCAUUUUUACCUCUCGUCUCACUUUUUCUUUUCUUCCGAGGUUCCGGGCACUUGCCCCUUUUUAUUUCCUCGUAUCCUUUCUCUAUUUUUUUUUCUUUUCUUUUUUUAGAGCACUCAUCUCCUGAAAUAAUGUAGCAAGUGGUAGUAACCAAAAUAACUGGAGCAUUUUUUUCACAGGAAAUAACAGGGAUAGGAAAAUAUUUUUUUGGCUAUUCUCUCCUAGAUAGGAGUAGAAUACUUUUGGCUGAAUCUAGAGAUGGAAUUGAGUUGAUGUAUGUGGAUGCGUACUUCCUGAGUAGAAGUAGCAUAUAUGAGUGAACGUGCAAGUGAAUGUUGAUUUUAACCGCAUGACAAGCUCCUAAUGGUCUACACAGCUUGACCACACUCAAUGCUCAUAAGCAGUAAAAAGUAAAUGUAUGGUUCUUAGUCUAAUAAGCAUGCAUAUAUGGCUGUGGUAGGAAUUUAAACUCUCAUCAUACAGGAACUCAUCAUGUGUUAUUUUAAAGACUUAAAGAUAAAAUUCUCUAGAAUUCUAGCAUCUCUAGGAACAGAUAAACAACAGCUCAACCCUCCCAUAUCAUAUCCGUUAAUGACUUAGACUUUAGAUCAAGUACUCUUUCCAAAAGUUCAGGUUUAGAGCAGGUUUAAAUUAUAACAGUUAUGCCUAAACUUGAGAGAGAGCUCAAACUUGAAAACUAGGUACAUGGCAGAGCAACUAUUUAUCAUAUCCAUGUAAGAGUUUAUCAUUUAAGUUCAGUUUGGCCUAGACACUUUAUUUAUUUAUUUAGCAAACUAAGCAAAGAUAUAUAUAUAAGCACAAAAAAAAUCUUUAUUUGGGUUUUCAUGAUUAUGCAUCUUUUUAUUAUUUGAGCAAAGUAUAAAUGUGACUAGAAACACUUAGCUGGAUAAAUGGGGGUGCUCUCCCCCAAGCUGGAUUUUGACGUAAUUUCUUUUGAUGUAGCUAGUAGGUGGCGGAGGUGUAUUUGAAUGUCGGCAGCACCCUGACAGCGAUUAGGAUGUCCUCCAUCUGCUUGUCUUCUUUGAUCCUUGAAUUCUGUGGAGCUCAAAUAGACAACAAAGCUUUGUGGAACUGGUUAAGUGUUAGCAUAAAUAUCUAGCCUUUAUCAUGUUGAGCGUCCUCCUAAUAAAUUUUAUUUAGCAGGAUCAUGUACUUAUUAUUUAUAUUUUUAUUGUAAGAUGAAAACAUAUUUAUUUUAUGCCACCACAGUCAAUAUACCUAUGGAUUUUUAAACCACAAGUCUACUCACAUGGGGCUUACUAUUUUUAACAUUUUUAUUUCCUUUUUUAGAUGAUAUGAACCUGAUUAACUAAGCAAACUAUUUUAAAUAAUUGAAGGGAAAAGGAUAACUACCAAGUUUACCUCUUGGCAAGGCGUUCGGUGUUUUUAAGUCCUUCAAACAGGACUCUCUGUUUUCUCAGUCGUCCUGGGAUUCGCUGGAUGGCGUAAUCGGUGGUUUCGGCGGUGCCUCCUCUUCGUGUAUAACUAUCUUCUCCCUCCACACCUAACUCGGUGCUACGGUCUCCUUAGGACAGUUCUGUUCAAGCCGUAUGUCUUCAGACCUUAUCACUUUUCCUUUGUAGUCUGCCCAUCCGUCCUUGAUGAUUUGCCUCCUCUGGUUGCGUCGUCUUCUUCUUGUCCUGACCUGCUUAGAGUCUUCAACUAUAUAGUUAAGUUUAGUAAAAUAGUGGCGUAGCUUCUUAGAGGGGAAGUGCAUGUAGACUUCUUCGGUUCCAAUAUAGAUGAUAACUUUGAUAGUGUUGAGGAACGGUCUUCCAAGGAUGGUGGGUGGAUCAUACUCGUCUUCUCCCAUGUCAAUGUCCUAAAAAUCAUCUGGAGCUUGUUGACACCGUUUUUGGGCACGUGUCUAGGAUGGCAGGAUAGGGUGGCAGUACGAUGCGGGUUGCCGAUGAGGAUGGUUGCCGAUGAGGGAGAGGUUGAAUGUGACUAAGUCCACAGGCAGUAAUAUGGUGCCGAUGGCUGGAUAAAAAGGUCUGCCGAUGACUAUGGCAAAGGGAUUGCCGAUGAUGCAAAGGAGGAGUCCGGAAGCUGCCAGUUGUCAUGUGGAGGAGUUUCGGUUUGUCACGAAGGAUAGUUUUGUUAUUUCCUUAAUUAUUUGCAUCGUUUUGUAUACGGAUUCCGUGUAAUUUGGAAUUCGAAUUCUAAUCGUGUCUGGUUGUAGCUCUUUGAGCAGGGUAUAAAUAUAAACCCUAGGGCCUUGUAAUAAUAAAGGAAGAAAUCAAUCAAAUACACGUUUUUACUCAUAUUCCAGCAUCUACUUUUCGACGACUUCGUCAUACUUUUUUUUCUUUUUAUUACGAGUUCUUAGGAAUUCGUCGACUUAAGCUCGGCGUGUUCUCAAGUUCCGCGUGAGUACCUCUUAGCCGUGACAUCCGGGCGCAUCGCUGUUGUCAGGACUAAAGUAUUCGAGUUAUCACCUUUGCCGAUAGUAAGGUCAAAUCGGCUGGCACGCCUUAACGUUUGAAUCGGGUAUUAGCCCUUUGUGUUUGCAGAUCAGUUUUGCAUCAACACAUCUUUUGGCACACCCGGUGGGACCGAUUCAAGAUCAAGAUCAACAUGUCGAUCUCUGACCUCGAUCAAGAGAACGUCAUCCCCGUGACGGAAGCCAACCUCAAGGAUGAGCAGAAGCAAGCUAUUGCCCAAGCCAUGGAAGAGUUCAAGCAGCAAUGCCUGAGGUCUUUCAGCAUAAACAGGAGCGGCGAAGUGGUCCAGAAAGAUGCACUGCCGGCACCACGGCAGGUUACCUUUGACGCCAAUCCUGGCAAGCUUCAAGAUAUGGUUGACAAUGCCAUCAAUCGAGCGUUGAUUAACCAAGCUGGUGUAUUGUCUAAUACGGUUUUCAAUGCCGUGGCAAGGACUUUCAAGGAAGGGCAAAUCCCACCAGAUUAUGUGGGCUCCUCCCAUCAUCAGCCAACGGCACCAGAGGUCACGGCUCCAUCGGCUGCCUUGAUGAAUGCAAGUGCACAACCUGCCGUCCCUCCAAGUACAUCGGGGACUACUGGUGCACUAUCUAUGCCGAUGGCAACCAACCCACAAAUUUCAGUUGGGCAGCAUAAAACAACAGAUAUGUUGGCAUCGGCAAUGUUAGGGUUGACUCUUCCUCCCAACUGGUGGGGUUAUGGUAUGCCUCCAGAGUUGACGCCGGGAACGUCACAAAUAACCGACAUGAGGGGCAAAACUCCUAUGACAUCGGCACCUCCCAAUGCGCCGGUGAACCAGAGUCCUCGGUAUACCACAACUACUACUGCAAGGCCUCACACUGGAAAUCCUCAAGAUUCAUUGUUCCAGAUGCCCAACGCAUCGGCAGAGUCAAUGCUGAUGCAGCAGAGGCCUAUGGCCCAGUCUAGGUAUGUCAAUUCGACGACGGUACCCAAUUACCAAUCAUCGGCAGCACCUAUGCCGAUGAACGCUAAUAAUGGAUGGCUUGGACAGCAAGCCUUUCCACAAUCGCCCCAGCAGAGUUACCAGACUACAGGGUUCCAGCAAGGGCAGGUCUAUCCUGGGUUCCAAGGUCAGGGGAUUCCCAACCAGCCAAUGAAUUUUGGACAGCAACUCGGAGGACAGCCAAUCGGUGGACAGCAGUUUGGUGGUCCGCAGAUUGGAGGACAGGUGAUCAAUACUAUGUUCCAUGCAGAUCACGUCCCGAACAGACACGUGGAGGUUCGCCACCAAGUGCCAGAUCCGCAGCCGCCUCAUCGGCAAGAUGCCGAUGCGUAUUGGGCCGAUAAGAUUGCUGAAGUAAUGAGGGAACAAUUUGGGAUAAAACCCAAAGUCAACACUUAUUCUUAUCGGACACCGUAUCCUCCCGCGUAUGAUUUGAUCCCGCUUCCAUAUCGGUACAAGGUACCGGAUUUUACAAAGUUUUCCGAACAGGACGACACGUCAACCAUGGAGCAUGUCAACAGGUUCAUUAUUCAAUGUGGAGAGGCUGGUAACAGGGACGAAUUGAGGGUUCGUCUAUUUUCGUCAUCAUUGUCUGAAUCGGCCUUUACUUGGUUCAUAUCAUUACCUCCCAACUCAGUAAUUACUUGGGCCGAUCUAGAGAAGCAAUUCCACAAAUACUUCUUCUCGGGGGUUCAUGAGAAGAAGAUCACCGACUUGGUCAAGUUGAAGCAACGUAAUGAUGAGUCGGUUGAGGGAUUUGUGUAGAGGAUACGAGAGGUCAAGAAUAAAUGCUAUAGCCUGGUUCUGGAUGAUCGGCAGCUAGCCGAUUUGGCUUUCCAGGGUUUGUUGCCACAUAUCAGGGAUAAGUAUGCCUCUCAGGAGUUCGAAAGUUUAAGUCAUUUGGUGCAGAGGAUUUCUGAUCAAGACGUCAAGCCUUUCGAGCCUAAGAGAGCAUGGAAUAAGAAAGUGUCAUUUGUUGAUGAAGCAACAAGCUCAGAUUCUGAUGAAGAACCAGUAAUCGGUUUGGCAGAGUGGGUAAAAAACAAGAAGCCGAUGUCUUGUCCUUUUGGGCAGAAGGAACCAGAGAAGUUUGCUUUUGACACCGCCAAGGCCGAUAGGAUAUUUGACUUUCUACUUCAGGAAGGUCAGAUCAAACUGUCACCUAACCAUGUGAUCCCAUCGGCUGAAGAGUUGAAGAGGAUGAGAUAUUGCAAGUGGCAUAAUGCAACUUCCCACGACACCAACGAGUGCAAAGUAUUCAGACAGCAGCUGCAGUCGGCUAUAGAGUCAGGGAGAAUCAAGUUUGACAGUUCCAAAGCCCAGAAGCCGAUGAAGAUAGACCAACAUCCUUUCCCGACGAACAUGUUGGAUGCUAAGGGGAAGGCUAAGGUCUUAACAUCGGAGACAGCUGAGAGGAGUGCAUCGGUAGAUCCUCAGCAUCAAGUUACUACUGCCGAUGCAAGAAGUAAGGGCUUGGUCCAGGAAGGAACUAGCUCAGGAAGGCUUCCUCGAUCCGGUAUCGUCAUAACUCAUAGAAGGCCUCGAGAAAAAUGGCAACAACGGAAAGAUCGGUAUCGGCGCCAGCAGGAAGAUUGUCGACGGGAAGAAGAAAGACGCCGACAGGAGUGGAAUCGGCACAGGGAUCAUUGGAAUUGUCCAUUCUUCAUCCAUUGUUGGGAGGAAAAUAUCAAGCUUCCUACUGUCAGAGACUGCCCUGAGUGCAACGGUUAUGAUCGGUACGAUAGGACCGAUCGGCAUUAUCAUGAACGGCGAUUUAAUGGGCCGAUCAGAGGAAGGGUGUCAGUUCAUGACCGGCUGGGGGGCAGAUUUAGUGGGCACAACAGACUUAGUGACCAUGUCCAGUAUUUUCCCAGGAACCAAGAAGAGCUCGAGGAAAUGGCUGAUGCGCGGGUUCCCGAUGAAUUCAUAUUUUGCAGGGAUGCUAACACGCAUCGUAUGGAGUCAAGGGAGAACCGACGCCCGACGGCAAGGCAAAGGCCACUUCCUCCAUGGUGCCCUGGAGGAUUAACCAAGACACAGAAAAGGAGAUUGCAACGUGAGAGGCAAGAAGAGCUAAACAAGGGAGAGAACUCUGGAAGUCGGCAGCCGUCAGACACUAAGAGGGAAGGUCCAUCGGCAGACGUCAACAUGGUCUUCAUGUUGCCGAUGGAGUUUCUUGCACCAGCCAGUGAUGAUGAGGUGGAAUUUUCUGACCAGAUAGCUCAGUUGGCUCUGGAUCCGAUGACGGCUAUCUUUGAGAAACCUGCCGAUGACGAGAGGCAGCAUCUUAAAGCUCUGUUCCUCAAAGGAAGGGUUGAUGGGCAGCCAAUGACCAAGAUCCUAGUUGAUGGUGGAGCUGCUAUUAAUAUUAUGCCGUAUGCGGUAUAUCGGAAGCUUGGGAAAGGGGAUCAAGAUUUGACCAAGACCGAUAUGAUGCUCAAAGACUUUGAAGGAAACGUGUCUCCAGUCAAGGGGGCGAUAUGUGCAGAGUUGACCAUCGGCAGCAAAACCUUGCCGACAACUUUUUUCGUGAUCAGCGGAAAAGGUGCCUACAACUUAUUAUUGGGAAGAGAUUGGAUUCAUGCCAAUUGUUGUAUCCCAUCUACAAUGCAUCAGUGCUUGGUUCAGUGGGUAGGUGACAAGAUUGAGAUUGUCCCAGGAGAUUCUUCUUAUGUUAUCGCAUCGGCAGAAGCGAAUACUUACGAAAGGACCAGGUGCAUUUCAGGAGAAGUUUGGGAGAAAGAUUUUCUCAAAGUUGCCGAUUAUGAGAUUCCACCGAUCCAAGCAGUCGGUUCUGACGACGGUUUUUAAUGGAUAGAUUCGCCGAUGAUGGAAAAUUAGGCCAGGGAUUCACAUCGGCCGACGAUUUGGUAGAAGUAGAUAUAGGUAGUGGUGAUAAGCCUAGGCCUACUUUUAUUAGUGCUAAAUUAGAUCCUGAGUGUAAGCGACAAUUGACUAGUUUGUUAAAGGAAUAUAAAGAUUGCUUUGCUUGGGAUUAUACAGAGAUGCCUGGUUUAGACCGAUCAAUUGUUGAACAUCGGUUACCCAUCAAGUCUGGAUUUCGGCCACAUCAGCAACCAGCCCGCCGAUGUAAUCCUAACAUUCUACCUGAUAUUAAGGCCGAAAUCACUAAACUUAUUGAAGCUAAGUUUAUUCGGCAGUGUCGGUAUGCCGAAUGGAUUUCCAAUGUUGUUCCGGUUUACAAGAAGAACGGGAAGCUUCGGAUGUGCAUUGAUUUCAGGAAUCUCAAUAAAGCUACGCCGAUGGAUGGAUACCCAAUGCCUGUCGCCGAUCUACUGGUUGAUGCUGCGGCUGGCCAACGGGUCAUCAGCUUCAUGGAUGGCAAUGCAGGUUACAAUCAAAUAUUCAUGGCAGAGGAGGAUAUUCCAAAAACCGCAUUCAGGUGUCCUGGUCAUGUUGGGCUAUUUGAAUGGAUAGUCAUGACUUUUGGGUUGAAGAAUGCUGGUGCUACUUAUCAAAGGGCUAUGAAUUUUAUAUUUCAUGAGUUCAUCGGCGAGCUCGUAGAGAUUUAUAUUGAUGAUGUGGUGGUUAAGUCUGGAGAUUUCUCAAAGCAUCUUGCCGAUUUACAAAAAGUGUUAGAGUGCACAAGGAAGCAUGGAUUGAAGAUGAAUCCCAACAAGUGUGCAUUUGGUGUAUCGGCAGGGCAGUUUCUUGGUUUCAUGGUACAUCAUGGGGGUAUUGAAAUUAGUCGAAGAUCUAUUGAUGCCAUCAAUAAAAUAGUGGCCCCUACCAACAAAACCGAGCUCCAAUCCUUGAUCGGCAAGGUAAAUUUUAUCAGAAGAUUUGUAUCGAAUUUGUCUGGUAGGAUUCGUGCUUUCAGUCCUCUUCUUAAAUUGAAAGCCGAUCAAGAGUUUAUUUGGGGAGAAGAACAGCAGUUGGCUCUGGAUGAAAUCAAGAAGUAUCUAGUAAAUCCUCCAGUUCUGGUUCCACCUCAACAAGGGAAGCCCUUCAGAUUGUAUUUAUCUACCGAUGGAUCGGUUAUCGGUUCAGCUUUAGUUCAAGAAUUUGAAGGGAAAGAAAGGGUAAUUUAUUAUUUGAGUAGGAGGUUGAUUGAUGCUGAAACCAGGUAUUCGGCCAUUGAGAAACUAUGCUUAUGCUUAUAUUUUUCAUGUAUCAAGCUGAGACAUUACCUGUUAUCGGCCGAAUGCACUGUCGUUUGCAAAGAUGACGUGGUCCGAUACAUGCUAUCUAUGCCGAUUAUGAGUGGUAGGAUCGGUAAAUGGAUUUUAGCGCUGUCGGAGUUCGAUUUGCGUUACGAAUCGGCUAAGGCAGUCAAAGGGCAGAUUAUGGCCGAUUUUGUGACUCAGCAUUGCGGUCUAGUGGAAACCUUGGAAAUUGUACCCUGGACGCUCUUCUUUGAUGGAUCUACUUGUGACCGGGGGGCAGGAAUCGGCAUUGUAUUAGUUUCCCCUAAGGGGAGGAAGUAUGAGUUUUCCUUGCCGAUUGUUGCCACAUCGACAAAUAAUCAGGCUGAGUAUCAAGCUCUGAUCAAGGGAUUGGAGUUGCUGAGAGAAGUUCGUGCUGAUGCUGUUGAAAUAUUCGGGGAUUCUAUGUUGGUUAUAAAUCAAUUGGCCGGAAGCUAUGAAUGCCGAAGUGAAGUUCUCAUAACGUAUUUCGAGAGAAGUAUGCAACUGUUAAAGGAAUUCAAGGAUUUCCGAUUGGAGCGUGUUCCCCGAUUGCAUAAUGAAGACGCUAAUCGGUUAGCUCAGCAUGCCUCGGGAUAUCAGCCAAUGAUUAAUGCGACAUCGGUAGUCGGUGCCGAUGAUUGGAGGAAAGAAAUUAUUGAUUAUCUAAAAGAUCCAUCCAAAAAAGUUGAAAGACGGGUUCGAUUUCAGGCAACCAAGUAUGUGCUCCUUGAAAAUGAAUUGUAUUAUCGAACUAUCGACGGAAUUCUUCUCCGAUGCUUGGGUGAUGAUGAAGCCAGAAGUUUGAUGGGGGAAAUCCAUGAGGGAGUGUGUGGAGCGCAUCAGUCAGCUUUUAAGAUGAAGUGGAUGAUUCGAAGGAAUGGAUAUUUUUGGCCAACCAUACUUGAAGAUUGUUUUAAAUAUUUCAAGGGAUGUCAAGGUUGUCAAAAGUUUGGUAAUAUCCAGAGAGCACCCGCAUCGGCUAUGAAUCCUAUAAUAAAGCCUUGGCCGUUCCGGGGAUGGGCCAUCGAUCUGAUCGGCCAGAUUUAUCCACCAUCUAGCAAAGGGCAUAAGUUCAUUCUAGUUGCCACUGACUAUUUCACUAAAUGGGUUGAAGCUAUUCAUUUGAAGAAAGUCACAUCGGCCAAUAUGAUUGAUUUUGUGAAGGAGCAUAUUAUUUACCGAUUUGGGAUUCCCCAAACGAUUACUACCGAUCAGGGCACCAUGUUCACAUCGGGGGAGUUCGAUGAAUUCGCAAUCGGUAUGGGAAUUAAAGUGUUGAAUUCUUCUCCUUAUUAUGCUCAAGCCAAUGGGCAGGCCGAAGCGUCUAACAAAGGAAUUAUCAAGCUUAUUAAACGGAAGAUUGAAGAAAAUCCUAAGCGGUGGCAUACAUUAUUAAAUGAAGCAUUGUGGUCUUAUCGGAUGGCUUGUCAUGGAUCGACCAAGGUAUCACCCUAUCAAUUGGUGUAUGGACAUGAUGCAGUGUUGCCUUGGGAAAUUAAGGCUGGAUCUAGGCGAUUAUCUUUUCAAGAUCAAUUAACUUCCGAUGGUUAUGCCACUUUGAUGACCGAUGAAUUGGACGAUCUAGCAGGGCAUCGGUUAAAAGCUUUAAUGAGUAUAGAAGAGAAUAAGAAAAGAGUUGCUAGAUGGUACGAUAAGAAGGUGAAGGCUAAAGAGUUUGCCGAUGGGGAUUUGGUAUGGAAAUUAAUUUUAACAGUUGGGACCAAAAGCUCGAAGUUUGGAAAGUGGUCUCCUAAUUGGGAGGGUCCUUAUCGGAUAAGUCGAUCGGCUCCUGGUAAUGCCUACAUUCUAGAAACCCUCGAAGGAAUUGAAUUUCCCAGAGCAUUAAAUGGCAAAUAUUUAAAGAAGUACUACCCCAGUAUAUGGGUCGAUGCAUAGAAGUUUAGGUGCCGAUAACACUCCUAUCGGCUGGAUCCAAAUGCUUGGGGACAAGACUUGGUGUUUCAAAAGUUUAGGCGCCGAUAACAGUCCUAUCGGCUAGACUAAAAGCUGAGGAAGCAGGAAAGCGCAGAUACAAUGCCGAUGGAAACUCUAUGGGUUAAGCAGCGUCUGGAUUGCCAAUAUAGCGCGUAGCCGAAUUUGGUUGGCUGCUUCUAUCUCCUUGAUGUCAUCAUCGGCAGAACCUUCUAUCGGCUUCAGCUUCUUCUUCAGUUGGAGUGCUUUGCGACCAUGAGCAUUUCGCUCGCGCUCAAGAAGCCUGAUGGUCUCUGGCAAUUGGCUCUCUUCCUGUUGGGCUUGGGACAGAGCGUUCUCUACUUCCUUAAGCUCCGCCAAUAGGGACUCUUUUCUUGCCGAUAGAUCGGAUAUCUUCUGCUUCAGCGCGUCUCCAGAAGAUCUCAGGAUGCCGAUGUUCUUGUGCUUCUCAUCGGUCAAAAGCUUUUCUUUCCUCAUUUCAUCGGAGAGUUGAGUCUGAGCGGCUCUAUCGGCAAGCCGCCGAGAAGCUCUUUGGUACUGCAGCUGGCGACUCUCCAGAUGAGCGGCUUGGAACAGAAUUUCUUCAACGUCGGCUGGGACUUGGCCUUUGAGAGUUCUGAACAGGGUCUUGGUAGGGUCGGAAUCAUCAACCAAUUGCGCUGUGUCCUGGUGGAGGAGAGCUAACAAUUCUUUCAGCCUGACCCUGACCUCUGCCGAUGUGAUGCCGACCGACUGAGAAGUGCUUGCUUCUUCACCUUCUUCUUCAGAGAAAUCGAUGGCGAAGGAGAACAGGCUAUCGGGAGAAUCUUGUUCCUGGGAGGGAAAGCAAAAUUAGCCCAUACUUAGAGAAUUGGCAAAUAAUGCUGGCGGUAAACAGUGACUUACUUGCUUCAAGGCGAUCUCUUGCCUUGGACUGGGAGGUGCUGACGGAGCUGCGGGCUGACCGGCCAAAGAUGCCGAUGGAACUACAGGUUGAUCGGCUAAGGUUGCCGAUGGGACGAUAUCGACUGAAAGAAGACAAGAAAGGUUAUGAGACUAAAUAAGAAUAAGUUCAUCGGUAGCGAUAUUGUUAAAGUAUGUUACCUGGAGGAGGGAUAACAAUUGUCUGAAUCGGGAGAACUGCCGAUGGUAUAAUUGAGCCCACCGGGCCAGUUGUUUGUUCACCCGUGUCAGCUGAUGUACCUUCUGUUUGAGAUCCUUCCUGUUGGGGUUCUUCUAUCUGUGGUGCUUCCUGCAUAGGUGGGGGAGAUGGUGCUUGCUGUGGCUGGGCUUUUGGAGAAGAAGGAGAAGACUCCACCAGAAUUGGAGAUACCGGAGGAGGAGGGGGAGUUGCUACCUUCUGGCGCUUUGUUCCAGUCUUAGCACCCGUGGUACCCUUCCUCUUUGGCUGGCUGGACUGGGUGGCAUCGGCACCUUGACGUGUGACCUUUGCCGAUGCACUGGUUUGCUGCAAUAACGAACAAGGGUUUAUAAGUAUAAAUAAAGCCGAUAUAAAGAUAGUCAGCGUAAAAGAUAAAGAUUUGACAAAUUGCCUUGAAAGCCCGCGCCAGAGUGGGAGCAGCUACCGUUGGUGAUGUCUGGGUUCUCCUGGUUGUAACUUUCCUGAGGCGCACACCCCGAUGCACGAUGGAAGCCAGAGUGGGAGCAUUGUGGCCGAUUGAGGAAAUCGGGCCUGAUGGAAACAAGUCGAUCGGCUUGCCACUCCUGCUAACCGAUGGAGGAAUAUUGUCAGCCUGCAAAAGGAAUACAAGGGUAAGCUGCCGAUGGAAGUAAUAGUGAGAAAAUGAAACGUUGGUUUGAGUUACUUACAGUGUCAUCGGGACCUUCGUAUUCGGGGUCAAUCAUGCUGCGGUAUGAAAGUGCCGAUCUGCAGAAUAGAUGCUCUUUCCAUUCUGCCGACCAUAACUUGUAUGCCUGAGUGAUAAAAGCAGCCGGAACCCAUUCUGACAGAUCUACAUCUACAUCGGCGUUUGGUGGUAGUUGGGCUACUCGAGUCCACUCAAGAAGGUUGUUGAUGGUUUCUCUGGGUUUUAUCACAUCGGCAUAAGGAAGUGCAAUCGGCAACUGGCCGAAAGCUAACUGGCGAGCUAAUGCCGAUGGAUUGUAAAAUUCGUAAGUCUGGGGAGAAGUUUUUGUGCUACCGAAAAAAUUCACUGGAAUGGCUCUGGGAGUCACAAUUGCCAUCAUCGCCUCAUUAUCCCUGUCGAGAGCUUCAUCAAAUGGAUUGAAGGUCAGAGGGAGCAUGCUAUCUGGGUCAUCAUAAGCCAACCAUGGUCGUUCAUCCCUGGCCAAACCCUCAUACAGAGUCUCGAAGAAUCGGCCAAUUUGAUCCGGAUUACUCCCUGAACCAGGUAGGACUAUGACGGCUUCGCCAAAGUUCAAGGGGGCACGCGUUGCCGAUUCCUCUUCACCCAACACAUGAUUUUCGGCUAUAUCUCUUGGGAAGUGCUGUGAGAACAAGUUGAAAUCAAGGCGCUUAUGCAGGUGCAGAUUGAGCCACAUAUUAAUAAACCACCAGGGGCCUCCCAAGUUGCCGAUGGAUUGGACAAGCAGGAGUUUCUGGGCUACCUGAUGGAGAAGGUGGUAAACAGCGCCAAGCAAGUAUCGGCCGAGAGGAAAUUGGCCACCGUUAGCCAGUCUCUCUGCUGCCGAUAGAUAGACGGAAGUCGGUCCUGCCGAUCGACCACAGAAUACAAACUUGUCCAGCCACAUGUUCAGAAAGGUGGUUUGCUCCUUUAUGGUGACAGGCCCUCUCCCGCGGUACUUCUGAAUGUACCCUGACCAACCGCCGAUAGCGCGAGUCUCCACUUUGGCACUGGGGCAGUAUCAAAAAAGUGGGUGCUAUCGGCAGAAGAUAUAUCUAGCCCAGUGAGCAUGGCUACAUCGGCAAGGGUAGGAGAAGCAGGGCCGUGGCCAAAAACAAAAGCAUUGAGGGUGUCUGACCAAAAGUAGGACGCAGCUAUCAGCAGUGACUCGUUCCUGUGCAUAUCGGCAAUGGAUAGCCUAAUGCAUUGGGCUAGCUUCCUUUCACCCCACUGGACUUCAUAAGAAUUGCUGACCCUCAAGAACUAGUCUUUCCACCCUACGGUAGGGCUGGGCCAAGAGCGAAAAGUGUCUUUCCACAGAUCUAAAGAAAAGUUUUCAGCUCUAAAGGGGAUCCUAUUGGUUUCUGCGUUAAUAAGGUUGGUUGGAUCUGAAUCCCCUAGAGGGCCGAGACAUUGAAGGUGUGGUUGAUCGGUGGGGAUGACAAUUUUAUUGGACAACUCCUAGUGAUUUUGGGGGAAUAAAAAUACAAAGAAAAAGGAAAAGGAGAAUAUUCAGUAAGAUGAAUCGCGGAUGAACAGGAAUAAAAAAUACAGAAGAUGAGAUGGAGAUCUGACCUCAGGGACGACGAAGCCAAUGGCCAUCUUGUCGUGAAGAGGAUGUUGGAGGGCACCGGAGUUGAUGAAGAGAAGUGCUUGUCGGAGGUCUUGAAGGUUGUAAAUGGCGCCGCCGCUGGGAAAGUAAAGUUGGGUAGUAGAAUGGUGUGAUGGGGAAGGAGUACCCAAGAAGGAACUAUUUAUAGGACAAGAUGGGCAAGGGCAAAUCCGACUUAUCUCUUUGCCGCAUCCGAGAAACCCGAGGGUACUCAGGUGGAUAUGGUAACUGUUCGCACGGUAAUCCAGGGAUUGUGCAGAUGAUUUGACGGGAAGCGGUCAUUAUCUGAAGAUAUUUUACUGUGCGAGAUCUCCUGGUCGGUCCAUCGGCGAUAUUCUAUAACGGUCAUCCUGCCGAUGGGCGGAUAGAGGGGAAGUAAUCGUUUUUGCGAAUAUCCUGGUCAGAGCAUCGGCAGAUCUUUGUAACGGUAUUGUUGCCGAUGUACGACUGAGAAAAAUGCCCGUUUAGGAAGUUGGGGAUUUCGAGGAAUCUGCGGAGGAUUAGGAUCAGAGUUGUCCAGAUUGAGGUUGUCGGUUACCAGAUUAGGAGAAUUAAUUGCGGAGAAGGCAUCAUUACUGUAGAGAAUUUCGGAGCAUUAAUAGUUUUAUACUCCGAAACUGGGGGGCAUGUGUUGACACCGUUUUUGGGCACGUGUCUAGGAUGGCAGGAUAGGGUGGCAGUACGAUGCGGGUUGCCGAUGAGGAUGGUUGCCGAUGAGGGAGAGGUUGAAUGUGACUAUGUCCACAGGCAGUAAUAUGGUGCCGAUGGCUGGAUAAAAAGGUCUGCCGAUGACUAUGGCAAAGGGAUUGCCGAUGAUGCAAAGGAGGAGUCCGGAAGCUGCCAGUUGUCAUGUGGAGGAGUUUCGGUUUGUCACGAAGGAUAGUUUUGUUAUUUCCUUAAUUAUUUGCAUCGUUUUGUAUACGGAUUCCGUGUAAUUUGGAAUUCGAAUUCUAAUCGUGUCUGGUUGUAGCUCUUUGAGCAGGGUAUAAAUAUAAACCCUAGGGCCUUGUAAUAAUAAAGGAAGAAAUCAAUCAAAUACACGUUUUUACUCAUAUUCCAGCAUCUACUUUUCGAAGACUUCGUCAUACUUUUUUUUCUUUUUAUUACGAGUUCUUAGGAAUUCGUCGACUUAAGCUCGGCGUGUUCUCAAGUUCCGCGUGAGUACCUCUUAGCCGUGACAUCCGGGCGCAUCGCUGUUGUCAGGACUAAAGUAUUCGAGUUAUCACCUUUGCCGAUAGUAAGGUCAAAUCGGCUGGCACGCCUUAACGUUUGAAUCGGGUAUUAGCCCUUUGUGUUUGCAGAUCAGUUUUGCAUCAACAGAGCUGAAUGUAUAUUGGUUGUAGGGGCAUGGUUCCAUGCAGGAGCUGAUAAGUGACUGCGGCCAUAAUGUUGUCGUCAGAUCCGGUGUUGUAGAGUGUCUUCUGAAAAGAGUAUCCGUUGAUUGCGCACUUGAUGCUUGGAACACCAGGGUCGUCCUUCUUGAUCAGGAAAGGCGAUUUGAGUCGACGAUCUUGACCUCUUCCGACAAGGAUCCAAUGUUUUAAGUCUACAAGACUUCUCACCAUCUUUAUCAUUUAGGUGCAUCAUUUGAUUAGGUGUGGACCUUGACGUCUGCACCUCUUGAUACAGUGUCACCCAUGUUCUUUGUUUGCCCAGCAGUUCGAAGUGCGGUGUUGGCAAUAUCCUGUGCAGUGUGUUUGUGCUCGUAGAUCCAGGUCCUUCAGUUGGUGGAGUCUGGAAGUUGUAAAACUCCUCCAUGUUUUCCUUGAAGUGUACCUGUUCAUAGAGAGAAGGCAGAGAUCAAGUGCAUGGGUCCUGUUGGUGGAAAACACCAACAGAACCAAAAGUGUAUUUGUUCUUCUCUAACCUUAAGCAUAGUGAGCAAGACAAAGUUGAUGGAUCAUGAGUGUAGCAUUUGUCAGAUGGCUCAACCUAAUGGAAUGAUAAUCUUUCUAUAUUUAUGUUUUAUUUAUAUCUUCCAAAGAUUGAAUGUGCAACACAUUAGCUUAUAUGAUUAGGAGUGUGGGAUCACGAAGGUAGUACUAAGAACAAAGAUUAAAGGACUAAACAUGUUGAAUUAGUUGGGUUGGUUAAUUUGGAGCUACAAAUCAUACAUGUUUGUCUCUUUUAUUCAUGUGUAUGCCAGAACCAAGGAGAAACUUAUAAAAGCGAUAGUCAAGUACCUUAAGAUGUUACCUUAAUUGAAGAGUGAUGGUAUAGUAUCACCUUAUGGAAGCUUUCCUUUCUUAGCGGUUGUGCAUCGUGUUUGUGGCACCCUCCAUGGAUCAUCUCUUUAUGAUGAAUGAGCUAUGUCCUUCUUGUGCAAAUUGUUAAACUUCAGGUAUCUCCUUUAUCUCCAAUGAGUUUAUAUCUCAGGACUUCCCAGGUUGAUAUUGAAAGUUUUCCUGUAGGGGUUAGUCCGACAAAAUAUACCAAAGCCUACUCAAGCAGUUUUUAGUUCAGUAACCAAACUAGACUCCAUGUCUAAUUAGAUUAAUGAAGGCUAUUUAACCUAAGCACCAUGCUUAAUUUCAAAGCCAAUAGAAGUAUGUACAGUACUUCCAAACUAACACUUACUAAGAUACACAUAGGUAGCAUGAUGGCUUUUAUAGAGAUCUACUCAAGUGGAGAUGAAGUAGUGUGAUUAGUAUUUAACAAAUUGAGCAUGUCUCAAAGGUAAGGACAACCAACAUAGCAACAUGGCAAAUGAUGUUUUUAUGUAAAGUACUCCCCCAAGCUUGAAUUUUGCAAAAUUCAAGAUUGGAUGAAUUUAAUUCAAUGUUGUGUGAUGGUUGGUUGGACAUACCUUGUGCUUGUCAUUCAUCCGAUCUUCUUGCUCCAAUCCUAAAAAGGUUAGUGGCAAGAAUACCCGAAGGAAUAUUUCUACAACUAUCUUUAUAUGCUCAAUACACAAGGCAAUGUUGCAAAUAAUUAGAAGUUCAUGUUACGGUCUGAUAAGUGCUUGUUUUAGGACACUAAGCUUGUCCUUGGGAAACCAUCAAUUUAUGUCGACGAAGUGGUUUCCCCUCCGAUGCUGACCUAUAUCAAGAUCAACUCAACGAGAUCUGUAAUAUUUAUUAUAGACAUAUGCAUCGACAACCACCCUUUUAAAGUUUUUAUAAAUAGAAAGGAAGAGGGGGUUGGAGAUCUCAAAUGCAGUGAUGUUGGAGAGAUCAAUUGAUUGGGGAGAUGUUUUAUAUGAGCAAGGAUUUGGUGAGGUAUUUACGAAAUAACUUCCAUACUCAAUGUUGUUUCUCUCAUUCUCAAACUCCAAGGAUGAUUCUUCAUGAAUGCUUAAAAUUCCUCUAGGAUUGUCUCUCAAGUUUGUUUUAUCUAUCCAUUCAAUGGUGAUAGCACAUGGAUUUUUAAUGCCCUCUAGCCAUUGAUGUUGCUCUUCUCGAUCCUCCUUGUGGUCUUGGUGACUCUUAUGAAUGGGAUGUCUAGAGAGAUUCAUAGGAUCAUCGGGAGGUUCAAGAGAAAGAGCGUAGUAGAAAUUAUUAAGCUCAAGGAUGGGUUGGAUAGCCGAAUCAUGGGAUUGAAAUGUUUGGAAAUCGGCUAUUCAAACUUCCUUUCCUCGUCUGGGAGAUGAUUCCUUCUCUAUUUCUAGGAAUUUUUUAUGAAGACUAGUGCAAGAAGGAUGUCCACAAAUGAAGACAUACCUUCCUUUACUAAUAGAUAAAGAAAGAAAGACUCUACCAAAGGUUAUAUGAUUAAGACCAAUGUGAAAAUAUCGAGAAAAAACAUGGUCUUGUAGGGCUAGGUCUAAACCAGAAUUUAUAGAAAGAUUAACAUAUUCCCUAGGUGUAGCUAAAAGUGCAUUAUCUUCUUGAUUAAAAGAUAGGACCUCGGCUAUAGAAAAGGGUAGGUUUUGACCUAUUGGAAUCAACUCCAGACACAGAUCAUAAUUAGGGGUAGGACUUGUUGACUCCCAUGGUCUGUGACUGGUCUCCGAAGGUGCAAAGAUUUCAAUAAUAGGUAUGGAAUUUAGGUUAUCCAUAAAGAUGGAAAAAAUAAAAAGAUAAAAGUAUAAAAGUAUAAUACAAGAUAAUAGCAAGACUUAAAGUUAUCUCAGCAAACCGUCUUUCUCCUCGGCAAGGGCGCUAGAAAUGCUUGUUGAUAUUUGGUAACGCAAUCAGGAAAUGAUCCGCAAGCGCACGGAUAUCGGUGAGCGUUUCACCCGGGAGGUUUUCCAGAGUAUCGUAUUUAUAUUUUUUCCACUGGGAGAAAGGGUGCAUCUGACUAACCAAAUCUAUUGCUACUAUCCCUUUAGGCUACAAAGAAUGUUUCUCGAUGUGAGUGAUGUAUAGAGAAGACUGCAACCGUAGUCUCGUUCUAACCUUGGUAAGGAUGAUCUGCUGUUCUAUUAGGGAAGCUUACGGAAUCUAGACACCACAAACGGUGUUCGACCCACACCUAUAAACCCUACCUGUCCUGCUAACAAGAUAUGGGAUACAAAGGUAACUCGGAAAUGUCACGUUCCUCGCUACUACCACGGUCCAGCUAGUCAGGGGAUAUCUAUGAGUACCCUAGCCUAAACACCACGUUUACGCUAGCAAUGAUUACUCUAAUACUCAACCGGAAGAGCAUUAAAGUAAACUCAUAAACCAAAGAACAAUAAAACAAGAACUUAAUAGAAUUAGAAGUCGAAUUACUGAAGAAUCUUAGGAGCAAGCCUCGGGUUAGAAGACUUGAUCCCGCAGGUACAACUUGGAGUAGACACCGACAGGCCGGCCUUCCUCCGAUCUACACCUCCACUUAUCUCUCUCAAUCUAGUAGAAACUAGAAGAUCUAUUUCUACUUACAUUGGUUGCUAAGCCUAAAAUAAAUUUUAUUUAGAGAAGAGGUUUUCCUUCGAGGGCUCCCCUCAACUCUAUGAAAAACUUCUUGUCUUCUCCAGGGGCCAGGGGGUCUCCUUAUAUAGUCCUCCUCCUCUAUGCGUUUUUGGGUCGGUAGGCGAUGUGGUACUACAUUAUCCUUGAUCCUUUAGGUCGGUGGAAAAUCGUGUGCGAAGAGAGUCCCGAACGGAGUCCAGAGGUGGGCGGGCGCCCAGGUCCUCAGGGCGGGCGCCCUGGGCCUGGCCCCUUUCGGCCUCUGCUUUCUUCCCGUGGCUUCUAGAGUCUUCUAGAUGUAAGAUAAUUGUGCGGCAUGUUAAUAUCUCUUUGUAAUCCCGACGUGUGGGCCUUUCUUCCGUAUUUCCUGAUAACCCCCUGCAGAAAUAGACAAACACCAAAACUCGUGGAAUUCUGUAAGAUAAAACCCUAAGUCUAGAUGUUGAUUUCAUUUGGAUCCUUUUCUUUAUUUAUUUGAUAAUUAAAUUUGAUACUUAAGGACCGUCAACAGGACACUUGUCCAUUUUUUCCGCUCAAGUGGGUAUGUUUGUACCCCUAAUUCUACUCCGGACACUUGUCCAUUUUUACCUCUUGUCUCACUCUUUUUCUUUCUUUUUCGAGGUUCUGGGCACUUGCCCCUUUUUAUUUCGUCGCAUAUUUUUGCAUAACCCAUGCCUCUUCUGCAUUGAAUCUUUUUAGAGAGAGAAUAACAAUACUUGGGACAGUGAGUGAUAAUAUUAUUUUUAGCAAUUUUAAUGAAUGGUGGUGAAUGGUGUAGUGUUUGUGUGCAAGUGAAUAUCUUAAUUUCACCACAUGAAAAGCUCCUAAGGGUCUACACAGCUCGAUCAAAGUCAAUGUGAAUAUAAGUAGCAAAAGAUGUUAUAGCAAGUAUGGCUGUGGUAGGAAUUUUGUUGUGCUAGGAACUCAUCAUCUGAUUUGCAAGUUUUCAAAAUAAAUCUCCAGAACUUAGUGUAGUAGAAACAAGAUAAACAGUAGCUCAAACUUUAUAUCAUGCCUUUCUCUUACCUAGACUUUAGUUUUAUGUUUCCCAUAGAUAAUAAUUUCAGUUUUAAUGAUUCCUGGAAGAACUCUAAUAUAAAAGCUAGGUACUUGAAAGUAAGCAAACAGAGCAACUGUUCAUCAUUUCCAUCAUGUAUCUUUUUGGUCUUUUAUUUUUUUUAGAGAUUAAACUUAGCAGGAAAAAUAAAGCACACUUAUCUACACACUCUUUUUAUUUUGUUUUCAUGUUUAUAAAAUGCAGUAAUUUAAAGCAAGAAAAUAUUUAUUGGGUUUUCUAAGUUUUUCUCUAUAAGAUAAAUAAAACACUAAAAUAGAAAAGAAUAAAUAAGGAAAGCAAAUAAAAAAUUAAUUGAUAAAAUGGGGAGGAACUCCCCCAAGCUAGAUGUUGUUGUCGGUCUUACCCAAUUGUCCAGAAUCGCAUCAUGGUGGUGAUGUUGUCAUUCAUUGUCGUGGUGUCUUGUCUCAGUUCUUGUAUUGCAGUGGCAUGGUCCUGGUUCCAUUUUUGUUGCUGUUCCAGGAGUCUUCCAUGUUCUACUUGCGUAUUCUGGAUGUCGAGGAUGGUGUUGUCGGUAUGGGUGAAGAAAGCGCCGGCCUCUUGGUAGUAGUCGUUCGUGAAAGCAUAAGAGGCGUCGGAGUAUCGUCCUGCAUCGAAUUGGGGCGGAGGUCUGGAUCCUGAAGCUCCAUAUGGAUCAGUGGAGUACUUGCCCGUACUGAAAGGCGGAUUUGUCCACUGGUGAUCUUGGCUCUCCGGCCAUGUCUCCUGUGUUGGCUCUUGUGGUUGCGCAUGUCGAACCCAUGGGUCCCAAAGGACUCGGGGGUUGUAGUCGCAAUAAUGUAGGUGCGCUGCUUCUUCCGGCCCGGGAUUAGCUCCAUACCAGGUGCGUUCUCGAUGGGUGGUCAUCCUUUCAGAUGCCACUCGUUGUGGAGCUCUCUGGUUUACCGGUGUCACUGCAAUCUCAAUCAAGUAAUUUUGACCAACAUAGAGGCCAAGGUAACUGAAUCUUGCCUUUAUUAUCAUAUAGCAUAUACAUUAUGUUCCCUUAUUUUUUCAACAUCCGAGCUUGCCUAAAUGUGUCAUAGCCAUGAUAAAUUCGUAACUCAUCUAUGAAUUCCAAUGACGAGUUUUCUAGUAAAUGAAGACUAGAGGCUAGACGAGUAAUAAGUGAAGUACAUCCUACAGGUCCCUGAAGACUAGGUAUACUAAGUUAAUGAGAAACCAAAAGUGUAACAGGUGAAGUGGGUACUUUAUUUAUGGCAGCAUAUAGAAGUUACAAAUCUCCUACUCUUACUUUUCUAAUAUCAUCACGAUGGAAAAGAUUGUACCCAAGCCAUUUAUGGAACAUCCUAAGAGUGGGGUGUUCCAUGUCACUGGUUCGGGCUUGACUAUAAAAAUCAUCUCUAGAUAUCUCUCUCCAGAAGUGGUGUCUCAAAAUUAGGUAAGUCGGAGUCAAUGUUCAGGAUGCAUCUUGAAGAGAAACCGAGAUGGUCGCUCAGUUCUCUCCAAGACAACAUAAUCUCCUGUUUGAACAUCCAAAAAACUAUUCCCCCCUCAUAAUAUUGUAAAGUGCAAAUAAAUUCAAGGGUGAGAAGACGGGAACCCAGCUCAGUUAUGUUCCAAAAAUUUGUCCAACCUAACAUCUAGAAAAUUAAGGCGAAUUCAGUAUCCAUACCUAUUUCUUGUAGCAAGAUUGGAUCAAGAGUAGGGGUGUGAAUGAAAUCUUUGUUCUUUAGCUGCUGGUAAACUUCCUUUUCCCUACGGGUCUUCAGUCCAAGGUCUCCUAUCUUGAGGAGGACCUUGACUUGCUGAUUAGAUGAAGAUGACGGAGCUUGCGGGGGUGUCGGGUCGAUGCUCAUCUCUGAUGGGUGCGAGGAGUGUCGGGAUGAACCCCUUGUACCUAUGUUCUUGAGGGCCUUACCUGCGUUCUUCACUUUCUUGAACAUCCUGUAAACAAAAGUUGACACACACACAACAAGUGGAAAAUAUGAGAGAAAAUGUUAGUGGUCAGCUUUCCGGAAUGUCAGUAGUCCAGGGGUUAGUCGUUCAAGACAAGUUUUUAUUUUGGCAGCACCUCCCCCUAAACAACUUUUACUUCCGCUUAGGACAGCGGGAUCACUACUUUCUAGGUGAACCUUACUCUCUUACUCAAAGACAACCAACCUCUCUUCAACUCUUGUCUUCCUCUCUACUCUCUUUGUCACUUCACUACAAGAGCUCCUUCUCUGGAAACUGAAACUUGCGUGGUUUUCUGGAAUGCUUGUGUGAAGAAGAUGGAGGCAGGAGGUGGCAAUUUAUAGGAGGAAGAGGGGACAGGGCGGGUGUUGACGGUCCUUAAUGCUCACAUUUAACCAUGUAACACCCGAAAUCUGAUUUUCAAGAAAUAGGAUUUUAAUUUGAUUUAUUUGAAUAUUUUUUUGUGAGCAUUUAAAUUAGAAAACAAAUAAAUUUUUGUUGAAAUUAAAAUUCAUCAUAAGCUUAGAAACAUGUUUUGUAAUCAUGCUGGAGCACAUCUUAUUCUAUGCUUGCUGUUUUUUUUGUGAGAGUUUAUUUGCAUUCAAAUUAUCUUUUGAAAAGGCUUUGGAAAGUAAAAUAGAAAAGAAAAAAAAAAGGAAAGGAGCCAGCUGAUCUCGGCCAGGCAGCGGCCUCGGUCCAGUUUCCCCCUUUCCCCGCGGCCCAAAACGGCCCCCCCGCAGCGCCCCCCCUCUCUCAGUCUCUGGCGACCGGACCCCGCCCUUUUCUCUCACUGACGUCUCGGGUCCGCAGCACAGUGUCUCCUUCUUCCUUGCGUAACCGAGGAGAACUCCGGCUUCCGUUGGCAAAUCCCGGUUUCCACGGGAGUUAUCGAGUAGGAGAUCUUCCCGGAGCCCUAUAAAGCGCUCACGCCACCCUGCAGCUUCCCCUUUUGUCCCCAAGCUCCAUAAUCCGAGCCCUAGCCGCCAUUAGAGCACAAACCGGAUCUCGCCGAGCUCGUGCUCUAGCCUCCAUCACCGCGCGCCGUCUCUGCACCUUCUCGGCCCCAACCAAGCGCUUAGACGAGAUCGUGGUGAGCUCCUCUUCAUCCCGGUGUUUUCCUUUCGCGAAACGGUGCUCGGAAUCGAGAAGUCCGUCGUCGCCGGCGACCUCCAUUCGGCCGGCAAUGGAGCCACCGCACCGGAGCUGGUGACGGUCGGUUGAAAAAAAAAAUGCUUUUUCUGCUAUUUACAAGAUUGCCACUGAUUUUGUUUUGCUCAUAAAAUAUUCGUUUUAACUCCGUUUUUAUCCAUUCAAAUUGCGUCAGGUUCGUAAUUAUAUGCUCUACAUGUUAGAAAUAUUAGUUUACUGUUUUGAAACUUUUUAAUUCUGCAGUAGCAUUUAAUUAAUUAUUUCUCUAUAGGAAAUCUUAGAAAAUUCAUAUCUUUCACGUUUUAAUUCCGAUUUUCGUGAACUUUACGUUUGUGUGAUCGUAGCGCUGCGUAGAAUAUUUUGAUAAACUUUUAUAUUUGUUUUACCACUGUUUGGUGUAAUGUUCUAAUUUUACCUUGUUUGCUUUGUGUAUGAUUGUCUCCAUUGGAUUGCGUGUUGUUGAUUGAUGUUUGGGAAUAGACGGUGAGCCGUACGUUGGUGACCAAGACCAAGCUUUUGAGGACCAGCAGGCUCAGGAGAGCUUUGAGCAAGGCAAGUAUAACUUGGGAUUAUCCUUGUUACCUAUUCACUAUUAACUAUACAUAUAUAUAUCAUAUGCAUGCUAUCACCUUGUCGACCUUAGCAAAAUCAUAGAUGAUUGUUACCUGUAUUCCUUGCCUACCUACUUGAUGUGCAUUUGGUGUAGAUGUGCUAGUGCUUGAUAUAGUCCAUGAUCUUGUAAGAUGAUUAAUAGCUAUGCAAUGAACAUAAAAGAAUGACAAAUAACUGUAUGAGAUCUUGUCUGUACGUGAUCACCCGGGAUAACAGUGCAACCAUGAGGGCUAUUAUGGCUCUGGCUUUAGCUCAGUAUGAAGCCCUUUUCUAGCUUGUUAGCGGUUACCCGAAAGGGCGGAGGGGCUGAACCGUUUUGGGUAUAGUGUGGCCUCUGUCUGUAUGAGUAUAGGCUGCGAGUCAUUGUGCCAUCGGAAGGGGGGCUCUAUAUCUGCGCGCAAAGGAAACCUUGCGGUCCUAACUUGUUAGACGAACUUUUGAAAGGCUUCAUAGUGAUCCCUGCCGACCUCCCUAGGAAGGGGGUUAAGAGAUUAGCUACCUCGGGCGAAAGGGUAAAUCAUGACUCAUGGGUAAAGAUGUACAACCUCUGCAGAGUGUAAAACUGGUAUACUAGCCGAGCUCACGGUCAGGAGCGGCCUUGGGGACAUCUACAUUAAGAUGAUGAGCUUGUUAUGUUAUUAUGUUCAUUUGAUUAUUGUUUAUGCUAUGAGUUAAUUAUGCUUACAUUUGAUCAUGGGAUUAAUGGAUUAUUUAUGCUUCCUUGAGAAUUGCUCAUUAAUUAUGAACAUGCUAUCCACUAUCAAAAGCUAAUUGCAGUCAAACCAGUGUCAGCUAUUUGAGCCUCAUGAACCCCUGGUUAUACUUGUUGAGUACGAUAUGUGCUCACUCUUGCAAUUUCCCAACACCUCAGGAAAUGAUAAUGAAGAUGACUGGAAUGAGGAUUAUCGGUAUGAGUACUAGGUUUGGAGUCAACCAGUCAACAGUGUCCCUGUGUGGAGCUUCCGUCGAGAGCGUUGUUUACUUUAUGCUAUCAUUUUUGUAUGAGACUAUGUGAUUCAAUAUAUAUUCCGCUAUGUAAUAAACACUGCAAUGGUACAUUUGAGAUUUGUCUACUUAUGUGUGCGACUAUUUCCUGGGGCACAUAUGAGUCUUUUAUGCAUCCUAUUUUUUUCUUAAAAUAUGGGUGUGACAAACCAUCAACUAAUCAUGGAAAAGGAUCCAAAUGCAACCAACAACCAGACUUAGGGUUUUAUCUGACAAAGUUCCACGAGUUUUGGUGUUUGUCUAUUUCUGUAGGGGGUUAUCAGGAAAUAGAGAGGAAAGGCCCACACGUCGGGUUUACAUAGAGAUAUUAACGUACCGCGCAAUUUUCUAUCAUCUAGAAGACUCCAGAAGCCACGAGAACAAACGGGAAGUCGAGAGGGCUCAGGGACAGGGCGCCCGCCCUACUCUCCUGUGCGCCCACCCACCUUCAGUGUCCAAUUUGGACCAGUUUCGCGAAUCAGGCUCCACCGACCUAAAGGAUCAAGGAAAACCGUGCAAUUAAUAUUGGUUUGAUCCGACGGCCUAGAUUCAUCUAAAAAUACUAUAUAAGCAAGGCCCCCUGGCCCCUGGAGAUCAUACCUCUUCUACAGAAUCAAAGCUAGGGUUUCAAUUCUUCAUCCAAGAAGAGAGGAUCCCUCUAGUUCAUCUAGUUCUAGCUCUAGUUCAUCUAGUUCUAGUUCUAGUUAGUUCUAGUUGUAAUCUAGAAAAUAGGGAGAGAAGAGGAGAGUGGAGGAGGAGCCGGAUCUGUCGGAUCUUCCUCAACAUUAUACUUUUGCUGCAACUGGUUCGUUCUUCAUCGUUCUCCAAGUUCUUCAAUUCAUAAUUCCUGAGUUCUUUAAUUACUUUUAUUACAUUCAUGUUAUUUAUUGGAUUCCCACUUGCAUCAAGUGCUCUAGUCUUUAUAACACUAGAGUAGUAAUUAAUAGAUUAGACAUGGUGUUUAGUCUUGCAAUUACCUGGAAUUGCACCCAAUCUUGUGGAUUGUUGUGGUAGCCCUAGGGUAGUGACAGCCCUAACGGUCAACGUAUUCCACCUCGUUCGGAUCGGUGUUUGUAGGACCAUAGUCAGAGCUUCCUGGCCCCCUUCUCAUCUCUUUCUGUGGUUAGUGUUCUGAUGUCCCGAACUAAAUAAUCUUUGAAGUAAUUCUUGAUUCUUAGAUCAACUAGAGAACUCUCAGGAAACUUCCUCUCUUCCCACUAACAAUAAUUAUAUAGUUAUCCUUGGGCGAUCUUGAAUCUUAAUUAGUACACUCAUGUUCCAUGUGGAAAAUCGAUACUCUGGAAUACUCCCGGGUGAAAGCUACAUCGGUAUCCGUGCGCUUGCAGAUUUUUCUGUUUGCGUUUAAAAUAGCCAACAAGCUUUCUGGCGCCGUUGCCGGGGAACGAUAGCUGUGCUAGUUUCGAACCAAGUCGUCCGUGUAUCCUUUUUCUUUUUCUUUUUUUACCACACUAACCUUACCAUUUUCACCACACCACAUGGAUUUCACUCCAAGCAUUAAUGAGCAUGGAAUUUAUUUCAUAGCCACUUCAUUUACUCCAUGCUCAUAUGCAACAUCUUCCCAAUCUUUUGAUCCCUCCAACAUCACCACAUUCGAGAUCUCCAACCCCCUCUUCCUUUCUAUUUAUAAAAACUUUAAAAGGGCGGUUGUCGAUACAUGUGUCUAUAAUAAAUUUUGCAGAUCUCAUUGAGUUGACCUUGAUAUAGGUCAGCGUUGGAGGGGAAACCACUUCGCCGAUAUAAAUUGAUGGUUUUCCAAGGACAAGCUUAGUGUCCUAAAAUAAGCAUUGAUCAGAUCGUAACAUGAGCUUUUAAUUAUUUGCAACAUUACCUUGUGUAUUGAGCAUAUAAGGAUAAUUGUAAAAAAAAUUCCUUCGGGUAUUCUUGUCACUAACCUUUCCAGGAUUGGAGCAAGAAAAUCGGAUGAAUGACAAGCACAAGGUAUGUCCAACCAAUCAUCAUACAACAUUGAAUUAAAUUCAUCCAAACUUGAAUUUUGCAAAAUUCAAGCUUGGGGGAGUACUUUACAUAAAAACAUCAUUUGCCAUGUUGCUUUGUUGGUUGUCCCUACCUUUAAGACAUGCUCAAUUUGUUAAAUACUAAUCACACUACUUCAUCUCCACUUGAGUAGAACUCUAUAAAUGCUCUCAUGCUACCUUUAUUUGCUUUAGUAUAUGUCUAGGUUUGGAGUAGUUUCAUUUAUCUCUUAAUUAAGCAUGGUGCUUAGUUUAGGAAUGAUGAUCUUACUUCCAAAGGAUUUUAAAUUAAGCAUGGUGCUUAGGUUAAAAUGCCCUCCUAAAUCAAAAUAGACAUGGUGUCUAGGUUGAUUUUUGAGCCGACAGUAUGCUAUAGUAGAUAUUGGAUAUUUUGUUGGACUAACCCCUGUAGGAAAACUUUCAAUAUUGACCUGGAAAGUCUUGAGAUAAACUCACAUUAGAGACAAAGAGAGAGAACAUGAAGUUUAACAAUUUACACAAGGAAGGCAUAGCUCACAAGAGAUGAUCCAUGGAGGGUGCUACAAACACGAUGCACAACCGCUAAGAAAGGAAAGCUUCCACAAGGUGAUACUGUACCAUCACUCUUCAAGUAAGGUAACAUCUUAAAGUACUUGACUAUCACUUUUAUAAGCUUCUCAUUGGUUCUGGUGUUCACAUGAAUAAAAGAGACAAACAUGUAUGAUUUACAACUCUAGAUUAACCAACCCAAUCGAUUCAAUAUGUUUAGUCCUUCCACCUUUGGGAUCCCACACCCUUAAUCAUAUGAGCUAAAAUGUUGCACACGCAAUCUUUGGAAGAUAUAAAAAAACAUAAGUAUAGAUAUAUUAUCUUUCCAUUAGGUUGAGCGAUCUGAUCUGAUAAAUGUUUUAAAUGCUACACUCAUGAUCUCAUUAUCCAUCAACUUUGGCUUGCUCACUAUGCUUGAGGUUAGAGAAGAGCAAAUACACUUUUGGUUCUAUUGGUGUUUUCCACCAACAGGGCCCAUGCACUUGAUCUCUGCCUUGUCUCUAUGAGUAGGUACACUUCGAGCAAAAUAUGAAGGACUUUUACAACUCCCAGACUCCACCAAGUGAAGAACCUAGAUCUACGAGCACAAACACACUGGAGAUACUGGACACUCAGGAAAUCAAUGCCCUGAGAUGCUUGAGGACGUAAACUACAUCAACAACAGCAACAACUACUACUACAACCGUCCUCAAUAAAAUCAAGGUUGGAAUUAUCAGAGGCCUAACAACUCUGAGAGGCGAUCCAGGACGCCCCGUCAUCCUGAUCUCCAUCGGCAUGGUGGUCUUCCCAGAAGCACUCUGCGACUUUGGCUCCAGCGUCAACAUUAUGCUCAGGGUACUCUAUGAAAAAUUCUUUACACAUCCUUUACUAGAAAUAGCCAUGUGUUUGCAGCUUGUAGAUCAUACGCUAAGUUUCCCAAAGGGAAUAUUGAAGAACCUCUGCGUCCGAGUUGGUACCUUGUACGCUCCAGCAGACUUCGUGGUGAUAGAGACCGGUUCUGAUGAGAGGGCACCCAUCAUCCUAGGGAGCCCAUUCCUGAACACCUCAGGAGGUGUCAUCUACGCUAGUGCUGCCAAGAUCAGUUUCUACAUCAAGGGGAGGAAGGAGACAUUUUCCUUCAAGAACAAGAUUACACAAAUCUCAGAGCAAUCCCAACAUGAACCAAGGAAGAGGACCAAUAGGAGGAACAGGAACAAGCAAAUGUAGACCGAGUCAGCUAAGAUGGUCACUGCAGUUCAAGGAGGUCAAGAUCGUCGACUUAAGUCACCGUUCCUGACCAAAAAGGACGACCCAGUCACCUAUUAGCUCCUGUUCGGAACCAUGCCCCUAGAACCGACAUACAUUCACCUUCAGAUAGCAGAUCAGACAUUCCGAAAGGUUGAAGAUUUUUAGGUUAUUGACAUGGGAGAAGACGAGUAAGAUUCACCCAUCAUCCUUAGGAGACCGUUCCUCAGCACCGUUAAAGCAAUCAUCUACAUUGGAACUAGAGAAGUCCACAUGAACUUCCCCUCUGAGAAGGUACGCCACUAUUUUAUUGACCUUAACUAUAUAGUUGAAGACUCUAAACAGGUCAGGACAAGAAGAAGACGACGCAACCGCAACCAGAGGAGGCAAAUCAUCAAGGAUGGAUGGGCAGACUAUAAAGGAGAUGUAGUAAGAUCUGAAGACAUACAGCUUGAACAGAAUUGUCCUGAGGAGACCGUAGCACCGAGUUAGGUGUGAAGAGAGAAGAUAGUUAUACACGAAGAGCAGGCGCCGCCGAAACCACCGACUACGCCAUCCAGCGAAUUCCAAGAUAACUGAGGAAACGGAGAGUCCCGUUCGGAGGACUUAAAAACACCGAACGUCUUGCCAAGAGGUAAACUUGGUAGUUAUCCUUUUCCUUUCAAUUAUUUUAAAAUAGUUUGCUUAGUUAAUCAGGUUCAUAUCAUCUUGAAAAGAAAAUAAAAAUGUUAAAAAUAGUAAGCCCCAUGUGAGUAUGCUCAUGGCAUAAAAACCAUAAGUACAUUCACUGUGGUGGCAUAAAAAUAAAAUAAAUAUAUUUCUGUCCUAUAAAAAUGAAAAUAUAAAAAUAAAUUUAUGAUCCUACCAAAGAGUGUAACAUUUAUUGAGGAGGCUCAACAUGAUAAAGGCUAAAUAUUUAUUCUAACACUAACUAGUUCCACAAAGUUUUGUUGUCUAUUUGAGCUCCACAGAAUUCAAGGAUCAAAAAAGACUAGCAGACGGAGGACAUCCUAAUCGCUGUCAGGGUGCUGCCGACAUUCAAAUACACCUCCGCCACCUGCUACAUCAGAAGGAAUUACGUCAAAAUCCAGCUUGGGGGAGAGCACCCCCAUUUAUCCAGCUAAGUAUUAUACUCAUGUUUAUACUUUACUCUAAUAACAAAAAGAUGCAUAAUCAUAUAAACCCAAAUAAAGAUUUUGUGCUUAUAUAUAUAUCUUUGCUUAGUUUGCUAAAUAAAUAAAUAAAGUUUGCUAUCAACCCUCAUGAUAAGCUCUCCCAUGGAAAUGAUGAAUAGUUGCUCUGCCAUGACCAAUUCUCAAAAUUGAAAUCUCUCUCAAGUUUAGUCAUGACUGUUAUUAAUUAAGAUUUGCUCUAAACCUAAAUUUGUGGGAAGAGUACUUGAUCUAAAGUCUAAGUCAUUAACCGAUAUAAUAUGGGAAGGUUGAGCUGCUGUUUAUCUGUUCCUAGAGAUGCUAGAAUUCUGGAGAAUUUUAUCUUUGAAAAUCUUUAAAAUGUUGCAUGAUGAGUUCAUGUAUGAUGAGAGCUAAAAUCCUACCACAGCCAUGUAUACAUGCUUAUUAGACUAUGAACCAUACAUUUAUUUUUUACUGCUUAUGAGCGUUGAGUGUGGUCAAGCUGUGUAGGCCCUUAGGAGCUUGUCAUGUGGUUAAAUCAAGAUUCACUUGCACGUUCACUCACACAUGCUGCUUCUACUCUCGAAGUACGCAUCCACAUAUAUCCACCCAUUUCCAUCUCCAGAACCACUCAAAAAUAUUCUACUCCUAAUCCGGGAGAGAAUAGCCAAAAACAUUCUCCUAUUUCUGUUUUCCCCUGUGAAAUAAAUGCUCAAGUUAUUUCGGUUACUACCACUUGCUACAUUAUUUAAAGAGGUGAGUGCUCUAAAAAAAGAAGAUACGAGGAAAUAAAAAGGGGCAAGUGCUCGGAACCUCGAAAGAAAAGGAAAAGUGAGACAAGAGGUAAAAAUGGACAAGUGUCCGACAGUAGAAUUAGGGGUACAAGAUACCCACCUGAGAGAAAAGAAAAAUAAAAUAUAGAGCAUCUCAUUCUCCUCAAAAAGUUUCAAAAGAGCAAGAAAGGUAUGUAUCCCCUCAAAAGAGCAAAAGCAGAAUUAGACUUUCACCAUUAUUAUCACCAUCAUCACAAUACACCAUUCAUUCGCCACACUUGCACAUCUUGAUUUGACUUAUUGACUUGUUCUUCUGGAUCCAUGGUUUGACUAUGAAAUAAAUGUCUUGUAAGUAUGUAUUAGCUGUCUCCCAUCUAUGAGCUCCAGAUAUCAAAACCUUAUUAGAGUAGGGUGAGAGAGAAGGCAUACACCAUUACUACCUUGGUAAGGAUCCAGAAAUACCACAAAAGAGAGACUAGAGAGAGUCAUACAAGGAAUCUCUGAGUUUUAUUUGAAAAUCUGCAAAAACUCCAGAGCUAUAGUUAAUCGAAGAACAAGAGACAUGGCGCUUGACUAGACCGUUCUAUCUUUUAACUGCUCAAGACACCGGUGACGGUUGCAAGCCCCAUGGUGGAAGGUAAAAUGAGUAAGUUUUAAGUCUUAACAGUUUACUCUAACCUAGAGAUGAGAUCUUGUUUAAAAGCAUGUAUAUCUUUAAGGCAUGAAACCACUGCAGAAACUCUUGAGUUCAUCUUUGCUCAGGGACGAGCAAAGGUUAAACUUGGGGGAGCUUCUUGACGGUCCUUAAUGCUCACAUUUAACCAUCAACUAAUCAUGGAAAAGGAUCCAAAUGCAACCAACAACAAGACUUAGGGUUUUAUCUGACAGAAUUCCAUGAGUUUUGAUGUUUGUCUAUUUCUGCAGGGGGUUAUCAGGAAAUACGGAGGAAAGGCCCACACGUCGGGUUUACAUAGAGAUAUUAACGUGCCGUGCAAUUUUCUAUCAUCUAGAAGUCUCCAGAAGCCACGGGAACAAACAGGAAGUCGAGAGGGCUUAGGGAUAGGGCGCCCGCCCACCUUCAGUGUCCAAUUUGGACCCGUUUCGCGAAUCACGCUCCACCAACCUAAAGGAUCAAGGAAAACCAUGCAAUUAAUGUUAGUUUGAUCCGACGGCCCAGAUUCAUCUGAAAAGACUAUAUAAGCAAGGCCCCCUUGCCCCUAGAGAUCAUACCUCUUCUACAGAAUCAAAGCUAGGGUUUCAAUUCUUCAUCCAAGUAGAGAGGAUCCCUCUAGUUCAUCUAGUUCUAGUUCUAGUUAGUUCUAGUUAUAAUCUAGAAAAUAGGGAGAGAGAAGAGGAGAGCGGAGGAGGAGCCGGAUCUGUCGGAUCUUCCUCAACAUUAUACUUUUGCUGCAACUGGUUCGUUCUUCAUCGUUCUCCAAGUUAUUCAAUUCAUAAUUCCUGAGUUCUUUAAUUACUUUUAUUACAUUCAAGUUAUUUAUUGGAUUCCCGCUUGCAUCAAGUGCUCUAGUCUUUAUAACGCUAGAGUAGUAAUUAAUAGAUUAGACGUGGUGUUUAGUCUUGCAAUUACCUGGAAUUGCACCCAAUCCUGCGGAUUGUUGUGGUAGCCCUAGGGUAGUGACAGCCCUAACGGUCGACGUAUUCCACCUCGUUCGGAUCGGUGUUUGUAGGACCGUAGUCAGAGCUUUCUAGCCCCCUUCUCAUCUCUUUCUGUGGUUACUGUUCUGAUGUCCCGAAAUAAAUAAUCUUUGAAGUAAUUCUUGAUUCUUAGAUCAACUAGAGAACUCUCAGGAAACUUCCUCUCUUCCCACCAAAAAUAAUUAUAUAGUUAUCCUCGGGCGAUCUUGAAUCUUAAUUAGUACACUCACGUUUCCUAUGGAAAAUCAAUACUCUGGAAUACUCCCGGGUGAAAGCUACAUCGGUAUCCGUGCGCUUGCGGAUUUUUCUGUUUGCGUUUAAAAUACCCAACAGCGGGCGCCCUCUAUAGGUGGGCGGGCGCCCACCUUUGGUGCCCAUCCUGGCUGCCUUUUCUCCACUCCCUCCUUUGCUUAAUCUUUAAGCCAAAAAAUAAUUCAAUGGUGGUGGUUGGUCGGUGGAAAAGUGCUGGUGAGUGGAGUUAUGUUGGUGGAUCAAAUAAUGUGAUGGGAUGUGUGUGAGGUGUGGUGUAUGACAUGUGAGAUCCAAGGAGUGUGGGUCAUGCUUCUAGAAGGUUGCUAUAAUUAAAUAUAAUGCAGAAAAAUCUAUGAGAAUUAAAACUUAUUGAGAUGAUAAUGGAAAAUAUUUUUGUGCCUCCACAAUAAUUAAUAAAUAUGGGUUGUUACACACCAUAAAUAUUAUUCAUAUGGGGCUUAUUAUUAUUAUUAUUAUAAUGCUAUGAAUAAAUAUAACUAAUGCAAGAAUUAAUUAUGCAAGAUAUAAUGAUGUUGGAUAAAUACCGAUUUACCUCCCGGCGAGGGUUUGGGAUUUUUGGGUCCCCCAAGCUGGACCUCCAAAUCUUUUUAAUCUUCUGAAUUACCUUCCUCCGGAGAUGGUGUCUCCAGCGGUUCUUUUUCAUGAACUUCCUUCACUGUAGAGUCUCUCUCUGGUCUGGGCUUGAAUGUGAAGUGUUCUUCUUUUCCGUUGAUGUUGAACUUGAUUUCUCCCUUUCCGACAUUAAUGUGGGCAUUGGCAGUGCUCAGAAAUGGCCUUCCAAGAAUGAUGGACACUUUUGAGUCGGGACUCAUGUCCAGUACCAUGAAGUCUACUGACACAAGGAAAUCUCUGAUCUUGACUGGAAUGUUUUCAGCGAUACCCAACGGGUGUCGAACUGAUUGAUCUGCUAGUUGUAGGCACAUUGAUGUUGGUUCUAGGGUCGUAUGCUCAAGCUUCUUGUAUACUGAUGCUGGCAUCACACUGACACUUGCUCUGAGAUCACAAAGUGCAUUGUUGAAGUGUUGGUUUUUGAUCGAGCAAUCAAUAGUGGGGCAUAAUGGAUCCUUCUUCUUCCUUGGUGGUUUAUUGAGGAUGGCCGCACUACAUUCUUCUGUCAGCUUGAUAACCUCAGUGGUGGGUAGUGGUCUCUUCUUGUUAAGAAUAUCUCUGAUGUACUUUGCAUAUGUGGGUACCUGUAUGGCAUCAAGUAGAGGUAUGUUGACAUAUAAUUUCUGAAUGACCUCUAUAAACUUACCAAACUGCUCAUCUGAUUGCAGUCCUCUGUUUCUUCUGGGAAAUGGCAAAUAGUUGGUGUCGUAAAAAUCUUUCCUCAUUUCUCCAGUUCUUGGUGGUUGUAGCAGAUCUUCUGCUUCAACUGGGCUUUCUUCUUCUAUCACUGCUGGUUGCACUGGUGCUGAUGUUCUUUGUUUCUCUUUUGGGUAUGGGGGAUCCCUGGUGGCUUUGCCUCCUCUAGUAGUUAUGUUCUUUACCUACUCAAUGUUAGUAGCAACAGGCAGUGCAGCAGCUAGCUUUAUUAAUUUAAGCUCUACCCUUUUUUUAAGAGUGUUUUGCUCAUCAAAGGCAGUUAAUAGAAAAUCCAUUUUAUUGUGUAUAUCUUUUAGAGAUGAUUCAUUUGUAUCUAGCCUUUGUUUAACUUCAUCAUUAAUUUUGGUUUGUUGAGCAAUUACCUCUUUUAAUGAAAGUUGCUUGAAAGUGUUACCUGAAUUCAUACCUUUGCUAUUGGGUUGACUCGAUAUGGUUGAUAUUUGUAUGCUCUCUCAAUGGCCCUUUGAUCUUCUUUAAACUUGGCCCUCUGGUCAAUCCAAUGGAGCAAAUUUUCCAUCUUGGUUGAUAAUGCUUUUACUUCUUCUGGUAUUUCUUCAGUUUGAUGACAUUGUUGAGCUUCAUCUUGGAACCAGCUUUGGUUUUCUGCUAUCUUAUCCAAAAGUAUCUCUGCUUUUCCAAUUGUAAGCUCCAAGAAUGAUCCUUUAGCAGAUGCAUCUAGGCACUCACGAGCCUUCUGGGUUAAUCCAUGGUAGAAGGUCUGCAUAAGUAACCAUGUGGCCAUUCCAUGGUGAGGACAAUCUGAUAUGUAUCCUUGAAAAUGCUCCCAUGCUUCUGAAAUGGUUUCUGUCUUCUGCUGUUGGAAACUGACAAUAUUUCCUUUUAAGGCAGUUGUUUUGCUUAUAGGGAAAUACUUUGAUGGAAAGACAUCUGACAAGUUCGUCCAGUUGUUGAUGUUAUCUUGAUGAGUGUAGAACCACUUCCUCGCUUUUCCUUCUAGUGAGAAUGGGAAAAGGCGAAACAGUAUGACGUCUUUGUCAACUCCGUUGAUGUGGAUUGUGCUUCCAAUCUCUAAGAAAUUCUGCAAGUGUGCACUAGCAUCUUCAUGUGCCUUCACUGAAUUGUGUAGCUUGUACCAAAUUGAUGAGACUUGACUUGAGCUCAAACUCGGGUGCUCCUUCUACUGCAAAUCUUGGACCAGUUAGAAUGUUCUCAAGACUUGGAGCAGAGAAUUCUUGCAAGGUCUUUUGUGCCAUAGCUUCAGCAAUUGGUAGCUAGCUUCUUCUUUCUUUCUUGAUUGCUUUGGUUCUGAUGAUGAAGAGUUGAAUGUACCAAAGUCAAUCCUGAUAUACCCUGUAUAAAAAUAGAAAAACAACAGGGUGAACCUGCCAAAGCAGAGGUGCCUUGUUAUGAUUUCUCACUUAGUAGCUGUUUUAUGCAAUUAUUUCUCUAUAGUCUAGUCUAAUAUUUUAUAUGAAUAACCUUAACUGAUUUCCUGACUUUCCUUACCGUUCCUAUGUGUUUCCCUUUGAUUCCCCUUUUUGACUCCCCGGCAACGGUGCCAGAAAUGCUUGUUGACACUAGCUAACACCACUUAGAUACUAGGUUGUCAUCCCCAGCAUGGUGCUAGAGUGUACAAAGGUAUUUAUAAAUAUGGAGGCUCUCUAGAAAAUAAUCUACUCUAUCCGCAAGCGCACAGAUAAAAUACCUCAUUGUAGCAUUUCACGAGGAAAGUAUUCCAGGUAUCGUUAUUUAUAAUUUUGCUUAAGAGGACAAAGGGAGAUGAAAUUAAGAUAAGGAUAAAAUCUAUCAAGGCAUAGACUAGAGAUAAACUUGCAAGAACAUGAUUACUAAUGAGGAACUCGUCACACAGUCACUUACUUUGGCAGGGGGUAAACCAUAAAGAUAAUGAUAAUGAAAUAUAAGUUCAUGGGUAAAUAACACGGCGAUUAGAAAAUAGACUACUCCUCAUAUAUGUAAGGUGACAUCGGAUUAGCUAGAGAAUGGAUUCUAAGUUAUCUACUAUCUACUAAGUCACAAUCUACUCUAGUUAUCUACAAGAUCAUAUAUAGUAUAAAAGACAAUUCAUUCAUGUAUAAGGAACAUUGCUAAAGUAAAUCAGAGCAUCGCAAGACGCAAGACUUACUCCGCAAUACAAAUUCUACCUGUCUAUAAACAGAGGGUGGACUAUAUAAGAAUCAACGAAGCUGUCACUAUCGCGAACUACCACACAACCCGGCCAAUAGGAUACAUUUGCAGGUAAAUAAUAUCUAAGCACCACUCCUACAUAUGAUCUACCACUUAACUCCCACGUGUCAAGAGCUAAGCGCUUUGCAAACUUAUACAUAAACUCAUUAUCAAUCAUAACUAUAUCAAAUAUAGAACUAGAGCAAACUAAGAGCAUAAUAAAUAGAGACAUACUGCAAUUAGAACAAAAUAUUAGAGAAAGAUAUGAAAUAAUACCAAUCUUUAUUAACGAAGAUCCGAAUCUAGAGUGUAGUGCUCUACUUCUCUAAUUCCUAUCUAAUCAAUCCUCUAAACUUGAAGGAUUAGGGAGUAGCUAAUUCUAAUUCUCUGUGGGAGAGAUGUCUAAACCCUAACUUUGAUGGCUACCUCUGAAUAAUGAUUUCUCCUCUCUCCCCCUGGGGUGGAGAGGCCUUGAUUAUAUAGUCCUUUCAAGUGAAUUUGGGCCGUUGGAUCAAACCGACAUUGAUCGCACGGUUUUCCUUGAUCCUUUAGGUCAGUGGAGCACGAUCCAAGAGUUUGGUUCUGAUUGGCCCCGAGGCCAGGGCGGGUGCCCAAGGGGGGAGGGCGGGCGCCCUGCCCCCGAGCCCGUCCGGUCUCCCGUUCGUUCCUGUGGCUUCUAGACUCUUCUAGAUUAAGGAAAAUUGCGCGACAUGUAAUUAUCCCGUUGUAAACAUGACAUGUGGGUAUUCUCUCCAUAUUUUCUGAUAACCCCCUGCAGAAAUAGAUAAACACCAAAGCUCGUGGAAUUCUGUCAGAUAAAACCCUGAUUCUAAAUGUUUGGUGCAUAUUGAUCUUUUUCCAUGUUUAGUUGAUGGUUAAAUAUAGUACUUAAGGACUGUCAACACUUAGAUGCUUUUUACUACCUCAAGAAAGCACUUAUCUCUGCACCAAUUAUACAACCCCCUGAUUGGUCACUUCCUUUUGAGAUAAUGUGGGAUGCUAGUGAUUAUGCUGUAGGUGCUGUCUUAGGACAGACCAAAGAUAAAAAGCAUCACACUAUCUCUUAUGCUAGCAAAACACUAACUGCCCACAGCUAAACUAUGCAACAACAGAAAAGGAGCUUUUUGCUGUAGUGUUUGCUAUAGACAAGUUUAGAUCUUACAUAGUAGGGGCAAAGAUGAUCGUUUACACCAAUCACGCUGCACUAAAAUACCUGCUCACUAAGAAAGAUGCUAAACCAAGGCUAAUAAGAUGGAUCCUGCUACUCCAAGAAUUUGACUUAGAAAUAAAAGAUAAAAAGGGAGUAGAGAACUCGGUCGCAGACCACUUGUCUAGAAUGCAGAUCGAGGAUAAACAUGAUCUACCAAUCAACGGCUAUCUUCUGGAUGACACACUCCUCAAGGUGUCAGCCGCCUACCCGUGGUACGCAAACAUCGUCAACCACAUGGUUUCUGGUUAUGUGCCACUAGGGGUAGAUAAGAAGAAGCUGAUCAAGGAGAGCCAAGUGCACCUUUGGGAUGACCCCUAUCUCUAUAUGGUCUACUAGGAUGGUGUGCUAAGAAGAUGUGUCCCUAUGGAAGAAGCUUGUAAAAUCAUUGAGAAGUACCACGGAGCUGAGUAUGAAGAUCAUUAUGGUACAUUCAGGACUCAUGCCAAAAUCUGGCAAAGUGGAUUCUAUUAGCCUACCAUGUACCAAGACACUCAAGACUUCAUCAAGAGGUGUGAGAGCUGUCAGGGACAUGGGAAUAUCAAUACAUGUGAUGCUAUGUCUCUCACAAACAACCUUCAAGUGGAGCUAUUUGAUGUCUGGGGAGUAGACUACAUGGGUCCAUUCUUGCCAUGUCAAGGCUAUGAGUACAUCUUGGUGGCAGUGGACUACAUGUCCAAAUGGGUUGAAGCACUGCCUUGCAGAGCAGCUGACUCAAAACACGCCAAAAAGAUGUUCCAGGAGAUCAUCUUAUCAAGACUUAGCACCCCAAGGUUGGUCAUUAGUGAUGGAGGCAGCCACUUCAUUGACAGGAGAUUCCGUGAAUUCCUAAAGGAAGUGGGGAUAUGGCACAAUGUGGGUACACCUUAUCAUCCCCAAACAAGCAGACAAGCAAAAACCUCAAAUAAGAAAAUCAAGAACAUUCUGCAAAAGACUGUCAAGGAAAUGAGGAUAGGAUGGGUGAACAAACUCCAUGAUGCACUUUGGGCAUAUAGGACCACAUACAAGAACCCCAUCGGGAUGUCACCAUACCAGCUUGUAUACAGAUGGCGGUUCCAAGGUGAUCAUAUGGUGGUUCCAAGGUCGGUUUGAUCCAACGGUGGAGAAGAAGGAGCACGUGGAUCGCUGACAUGGCGCUGGAGUAGCCCCUACUCCAUCUCCCCCAGUAAAUACCCCCUUAGAGAGCCUAGUUAAUCAUGAUUUAUUUUACGAAGAGCUACUUGUUGAUAUUUGGUAACGCCAUCAGGAAAUGAUCCGCAAGCGCACGGAUAUCGGUGAGCACUUCACCCGGGAGGUUAUCCAGAGUAUCGUAUUUAUAUUUUUACCACUAGGAGAAAGCAUGCAUCUGACUAACCAAAUCUAUUGCUACUACCCUUUAGGCUACAAAGAAUGUGAUUCGAUGUGAGUGAUGUAUAGAGAACACUGCAACCGUAGUCUCGUUCUAACCUUGGUAAGGAUGAUCUACUGUUCUAUUGGGGAGGCUCACGGAAUCUAGACACCACACAGGAUGUUCGACCCGUACCUAUAAACCCUACCCAUCCUGCUAACGAGAUGUGGGCUGCAAAGGUAACUCGGAAAUGUCACGUUCCUCGCUACUACCACGGUCCAGCUAGUCAGGGGAUAUCUAUGAGUACCCUAACCCAAACACCACGUUUACGCUAGCAAUGAUUACUCUAAACUCAACCGAAAGAGAUUAAAGUAAACUCAUAAACCAAAGAACAAUAAAACAAGAACUUACUAGAAUUUAGAAGUCGAAUUACUGAAGAAUCCUAGGAGCAAGCCUCGGGUUUGGAGAACUUGAUCCCGCAGGUACAACCUCGGAGUAGACACCGACAGGCCGGGCUUCCUCCGAUCUACACCUCCACUCUAUCUCUCUCAAUCUAGUAGAUUUAGUCUACUCUCACAUUGGAUGCUAGGCCCUAAGUCUAUUUAGAGGAAAGGUUAUCCUUCGAGGGCACCUCUCAACUCUAUGAUGAACUUGUUCUCCUCUAGGUGCCAGGGGGUCUGCUUAUAUAGUUCCUCAAGUGAAUCUAGGCCGUUGGAUAAAACCGACAUUGAUUGAAUGGUUAUCCUUGAUCCUUUAGGUCGGUGGAGUGUAAUCCGCGAGACGGGUCCUGAUUGGACUCUGCACCAGGGCGGGCGCCCUGCCCCCGGUCCCGAUCACCUCCCCGUUCGUUACCGUGGCUUCUGGAGUCUUCUAGAUGAUAGAAAAUUGCGCGGCACGUUAAUAUCUCUAUGUAAACCCAACGUGUGGGCCUUUCCUCCAUAUUUCCUGAUAACCCCCUGCAGAAAUAGACAAACACCAAAACUCAUGGAAUUCUAUCAGAUAAAACCCUAAGUCUGGGUGUUGGUUGCAUUUGGAUCCUUUUCUUUAUUUAUUUGAUGAUUAUAUUUGGUACUUAAGGACCGUCAACAAACUCCCCUAAGCUUACCUCUUGCUCGUCCCUGAGCAAGGAUAGACUCAUAAGUUUCUGCAGUGGUUUCAUGCCUUAAAAGUACACAUGCGUUCAAGCAAGAUCUCAUCUCUGAGUUAAAGUAAACUGUUAAGAUCUAAACUUACUCAUUUUACCAUACACCAUGGGGCUUGCAACCGUCACUUGUGUCUUGAGGAGUUAAAAGAUAGAAUAGUCUAGUCAAGCGCCAUGUCUCUUGUUAUUUGAUCAGCUAUAGCUCUGGAGUUUUUGCAGAUUUUCAAAUAAAACUCAGAGAUUCCUUGUAUGACUCUGACAAAUCUCUCUUUUGUGGUAUUUCUGGAUCCUUUCCAAGGCAGUAAUGGUAUAUGCCUUCUCUCAAAAUAUGUGGUGUUUUUGGUAUGAGGCAUAGUGAUAUUGCCUUCUCUCUCACCCUACUCUAAUAAGGUUUUGAUAUCUGGAGCUCAUAGGUGGGAGACAGAUAAUACAUACUUACAAGACAUUUAUUGCAUAGUCAAACCAUGGAUCCAGAAGAACAAGUCAAUAAGUCAAAUCAAGAUGUGCAUGUGUGGCGAGUGAAUGGUGUAUGGUGAUGAUGGUGAUAACAAUGGUGAAAGUCUAAUUCUACUUUUGCUCUUUUAAGGGGAUACAUACCUUUCUUGCAU